UCCGCCGCGCUGGUGCUCUCUGCCGGCGGCAAGCGAACCACCACGAUCUCCCUACCAAACUACCCGCUCUGACCACCUCCACCUGAAUCCUCCACUAACCUCCUUAAGUCCUCACCACACAUCGCGCUCAGCGACAAAGCUGCAAUGAAUUCACAACGAACUGAAGAAAGACGACGGUGGUGAACUCAAGAUCUACUUGAGUUCCUCUCUCCGUGAAUCGUGACAAGGCACCACUUGCCUUCACCUCGAGCCAUUCUUAUUCUACUUCUCCUACCUAAAGCUAAACGCAAGCUCUUCCUAAAUCUAAUGUGACUCGGCUUUUUGAUAGAGCGAAACAAACUUCGAUUCAAAGAGAGGAACGCCUCAACCGCGGUCCACACCACAACUCUCAAGUCUCACCACAGUGCAAGAAACAAUCAAUACACAGGGAAGAAAAUAGCUUACCUACGACGGCAGCAGCGAGGGAAUCGUUGACGACGUUGAACUACACUUUGGUACCUUGAUAUCUCGCCUAUUUGACCUUCUUUUUGAUGUUAUUAUGAUCCAUGAUCGUUCGGUGGAAUUCACGUCGGCGGUUUCCGAUUUUGCGGUUCCUUCCUCCGGUUGAGCAAAAGUGUACACCGAAAGCCUCUCUGUUGACCAAGGUGUGUAGAAACUAGAGGGAGUUUUUCUGGUUUUCUGAAUGAGAAGUGGCGAAGUGGGUUGGUGCGUGAGGGGUAGAGAAUGGUGGAGGAUUCGGUUAGAGGUUGUUGAUGAUUACAGAAGAAUGUCCAAGAUUCAUUGUGUAUGAGAAUUUGUUAUAUACUGCAGAAUUGAGAGCGACGACCCCCGCUUCAAGGCCAAUCCAAUGGACUUUAUAGAGUUAUGUUGCAAUGGAUUUGGAUGAGUUUCUACGUUUUUGCUUUUUAGUUGCCGUUUUGGUGUUGUUGCCUUUGUAUGUGUUGCUUGUUACGCGUUUUAUGCAGGCUCACAUUUGCCCGACGUUCAUCUGUGGCUUGGCUUAAUGUCGGUGGCUCUUUGUAGUUGUGCGUGGAUUGUUCUCAUGAUGUCGUUUUUAGUUUAUGCAGGUAUUUUAGCAGUUGGUGGCUCGUUAUCGUUUCGGCGCUUCGACGUUGGCUUUUGACGUGUGGACUUUUCAACCUUUUCGCUUGUGGAUAGCAGCUUGGUGGCUUGUUGUGCUGCAUUGUAGUUGGUUUUGGAUUUAGCUUGCGGCUUAGCUCUGAGCUGCAUUUGGCGUUUAAAUUUCUUACACUAUGUUGGCUUAAGUUUUGGCGUGUUUCCUUUUCUUACACUGUGUUGGCUUUCGUUGCCGUAUUGACUUGUUGGUAGCUGUUUGUGCAACUUUGUACUUUGCAUUUUGCAGCUUUUUAGCUGCAUUUGGAAUGUAGCUUUUGGCCUCCUGGAUUAUGUUUGCUGCAGGAUACCAGUUAGAAGUGGAAACAUGACAAAACUAGAUUAGUAAAUUAAUUAUGGAUACAUGGAUAUUGGCUUUUAAAACGGUUUAAUGGAUUAAAGGAAAGAAGGAUUAUGUAUUAACAUUGGAUUUUUUAUUUAGAAAUUGUAAAAAUGAUUUUUUUGCUUAUUGAAUGGAUAAUGCUUAGAGUGAUAUGGACAUGGAUUUGGAUAAUGGGAUAUGAAAUUGGCCAAGUGGAUAUUUGGUUUGUACAUGGAUAGUUAUUGGAUAACCAAAGCGGAUCAUGGCCUUGCAAUUGGGCCUACCAAAAAAUGGAUUUUUUAACAUAAAAAAGGAUGAAUGGGCUUAACUAAUUAACAAUCAUGGCCCAUAGGAAAAAAGAAGAUUAAAACGAUAUAAACCUAAAAGUUAGUUCGACUUGUCACAAACCAACUAAAAAUAAAAUAACAACUUCUAACAAACAAGUUGGCAAAUACUAUCAAAAUGAUAUCCAAAAUUAAUUUGAACUUCGAAAAUUAACUUUAACCUCCAAAAUCACCUUUGAAUUGAAAUCAACAUGGACUUCAAAAAUCGAUUGAACUUUAGAACUAAUUUGGAGUUAAAAUUAAUUUGAAAUUAAAAUCAAUUUGGAUAAUGAUUAUGAUGCUAUGAUAAAAUGAUGAAUGCAUAUGCAACGGAUUGAUGAAUCCAAUUGACGCGACUUGUAAAUCGAAUUGAACCAUAAUCAAAUGAAUGAAAAUCGAGUCACUCAUGCACCAGAAACACAUGAAUUCAGGCCACGUGUCUCCUUGUGUUGAACCAUGCUUAUUCAAAUGAAAUGUAUGGAUGAAGAUGAUAUGUAAAUGUCUGGGUUUAGUGACCUAAAUGAUCAUUGUGAGGGGUAAGGCGAAUUUUUGGGUAUGACAGCUGCCCCUAUUUAAUCUUCUCGGACCUGAAUGUAUGGAUAGCAAUGACUUCCAAGCAAUCAAGGUAGGAGAUGAUUAAAUACUUGAAUAACAGGAAAUUUUCCCGUCAUGAACAAAUGGAAAGCAUUGUGAAGAUAGGUCACAAGGAAGUCUUCUUCACUGAGAUAUAUGGGAGAACAAACAUGUCUUUGCGCAGGGCAGUUGCUGGGAAUAGGAGUGUCAUUUGGUAAAUGGAUAUGUGAGGGGUUAGAUAUGCAUGACAUAUGCAAUAUGCUAAUGUAGUAUGAUUGAUUAUUUUUUAUUUUAUCUCUACUAAUAAGUUUUGUUUUGUUUUGAAGGGAUCGAGAAAGAACUUUCCGCUGGGAGAUAUCUUCUUGGUAAUUGUUCUCUUUUUGGAUGGUUUGCCAGGUGAAUCCCAGGAUUCAGGAUUACGGACGACCUUACUGAGACGACAGUAGGCGAAUUAGGAAGUAAGUAGUGGGUUGUCAACUCUGAGGUUGGGGACAGAAGCAAAAACAACACUGAUUGCUGUGGAUCGAAACAUUCCGACCUCCAUACUGUGACUGGGGUAAAGCUAGACCUUCUCAACUCUGUGGUUGGAAACAAAUGGUGAUCAACAUCGGUUCUGAGACUGGAGACAGGGUAGGCAUCAACUCUGAGGUUGGGUAUAAUGAUGGACAUCGACCCUAAGGUCGGGAACAAAGGUAGUAGGUGUCAACUCGGAGGUUGGGUUUGUAGUCAUCAACUCUGAGAUUGGAGAAUAAGAAAAUGAUACAACAGAUCGAAAGUUGGGAAAAAGGUAGCCAUUCCGCUCUGAGGCUAGGGAUAAAAGGUAGUCGUCAACUCUAAGAUUGGAAAAAGGCAGUCGUUCAACUCUGAGGCUGAAGAAAGAUAACUAUUCAGCUCUGAAGUCGGGGAAAGAUAGACAUACAACUCUGAGGUUGGGGUGUAACACGGUACUUUCACUCUGAAGUGUAAAAAGGUAGGUACUCAACUCUGGGGUCGAAAAAAGGUGAUCGUCAACCCUAAGGUUGGAAACAAUUAGGUCCUAAGCUCUGAGGCUAGAAAGAGAGACCCCUACUCCGAAGUUGAAAAAAUGUAACUGCCCAAUUCUGAGGUCGGGAGCAAAAAAUGGUAAACGUCAACUUCGAGGUUGGAAACAAGCAGAUACUCAACUCCGAGGUUGGGAGAAUACACGGUAAAGAAUAACUCUAACAACAACUCUGAGGUUGGAAAAGGAACAACAACUCUGAGUUCGGGAUAAGGAAAGGCAACAUACAACUCUGAGGUUAGGGUAAUAUGAUAAGCAACGACAACUCUGAGGUUGAAAAGGGGGCUACAACACUGUGGUUGGAAAAGGGAUAGCAACAUUGCGGUUGGAAAAAGGGAUGACAACACUGCUGUUGGAAAAAGGGACGACAACACCGCGGUUGGAAAAAGGGCUACAACAUUGUGGUUGGAAAAGGGGCUAUAACACUGCGGUUGGAAAAAGGGCUACAACAUUACGGUUGGAAAAAGGGAUUGCAACACUGCAGUUGGCAACACUACGGUUGGAAAAAGGGACGACAACACUGUGGUUGGAAAAGGGGCGACAACACUGCGAUUGGAAAAAGGGACGACAACAUUGUGGUUGGAAAAAGGGGACGACAACACUGGGGUUGGAAAAGGGGCGACAACUAAAAAGGGACGACAACACUGUGGUUGGAAAAGGGGCGACAACACUGCGAUUGGAAAAAGGGACGACAACAUUGUGGUUGGAAAAAGGGGACGACAACACUGGGGUUGGAAAAGGGGCGACAACACUGCGGUUGGAAAAAGGGACUGCAACACCGCGGUUGACAACACUACGGUUGGAAAAAGGGAACGACAACAUUGGGGUUGAAAAAGGGGCGACAAUAUUGCGGUUGGAAAAAGGGACUGCAACACUGCGGUUGGAAAAAGGGACGACAACACUAUGGUUGGAAAAAGAGACUACAACACUGCGGUUGAAAAAGGGACGACAACACUACGGUUGGAAAAAUGAGAAACAACUCUGAGGCUGUAAAUAAGAAAGGUUACCAUCAACUCUGGGGCUGGGAUAAGGAAAGGUGAACAUAUAAAUCUGAGGUUGGUUAAUGAGAAAAGUGACAACAACUCUGAGGUUGGUUAAUGAGAAAAGUGACAACAACUUUGAGGCUGGAAAAUGAUAACAACACUGAGGCUGCAAAAGGGCGACAACACUGAGGUUGGAAAAGAGGAAACAUACAACUCUGAGGUUGGAAAGGGGAUAACAACACUGAGGCUGCAAAAGGGCGAUAACACUGAGGUUGGAAAAGAGGAAACAUACAACUCUGAGGUUGGAAAGGGGAAACACAUAACUCUGAGGUCAGAUAUGAAAGGAGUAGACAACAACUUUGAGGUCGGGAAUAAGAGAAAUAGACAACAACUUCGAGGCUGGAAAGAAGGAAGAAGCAACAACUCGUAGGUUGGAGUGGAAACUGACAUCAACUCUAAGAUUGGGUAUAGGAUAGUCUCUCAACUCUGGGGUCAGAGGUAAUGGAAUCUAAAACUGAGUAAAGGGUGAUUAUCUAUAACUCUGCGGUUGGGGAAGAGAGAUAUCAAUACCGAAGGGUACCGAAAAAAAAGGUGAUAGACGCUGACGAGCGAAGGGAGAUCCAUACUGACGGGUAUUGAAAAAGUGAUAGACACCGACGAUUGUUGCUUGAUUGGUCUUUCUAAUUUGAGAGAUAAGGGUCUUGCCAAUGAGAAUUGGACUUUGCAAGAUGUUUGCCAAACAAGGUAUGGGCUUUGGCAGGCUAUGUCAAUUGGGCACUUUGCUGUAGAUACGAAAACCUCAAAGGGUCCCACAGGCACAACGACGGGGAUGAAGUUUUCGAAAUAUGGUUACCCUUCUCGGGACUCACCAAACCUACAUUGGGUAUUUUGAAACAAAUCAAAAGGCAAAGUCUUGAUAGAGACAACCCUUCUCGUGCAAAAGGCAACGAGGGGGAGACGUGAUUUCGUGCACCAAGCAACAAAAUAAACUCACGAAAGGAGAGUUAUCUCAAUGAAAUCAUCUCCAUGAAGGAGGCAAUAGGCUUACAGCAGGUAAGCAAAAAAGGAACAACUUCGAACAAUCCUGUCGGGGUUGCCGACUAGGAGCUUUACAAGGGUCAAAAAAGGUCAUUUGUUUUCUAUUAUGUAAUGCCAACGGAGUGGAUUAUGGAAAGAUGCUAACGAAAAUGGGCAGUUGAACAACGCCAAGAGAGCUUUGGGCUUGAUUCUUCCUUGUUAGAGAGAUGUGUGAAAUGUUGGAUAAUAUGUAUGAAUGAAAUGAUAUGAAUUAUGCAUGACAGAUUGAUGCAAUGAUAUGAGGAUCUACGAAUGCCCCAAUCUUGGGUACGGUGCAAUAAAUGUUGAGGAUGUUUUUUUGGGUUACAAGGAUUCUAAUUUAUGGAGGGUGGGUUCCGUCUCGCAUGACUUACCGACAUCUGACUUCUACUGUUGCUGGAGAAUGGACCUGACGUAGACAUGCGGAUGCCCCGGGAUAGAUCCGGAAAUGCCUUCUCAGGUAGGGAGAGAACCUUUCUCUCUUUGGAUCGUCUUGCCCCAAGUUGUUGGGUAUCUGCAAGGAUUGCCCUAAUCGCAGGUUAAGAAGCAACUUCGUCAUGGAUUGUCACCAUCAGAUCUGCCCUAGUGUAUGGGAACCACAUUCCUCUGAUUAACCAUCUUAGGGAGAUUGACUUCUUGUGCUCUUGGGGUGGCCUGCCCAAGUACGAGCCUUGAAGUAACUUUGCCUCUGGUUGGCUGAUUUUUGAGGGAAUGCCCCUGAUUCACUGAUCUUCAGAGAGAUUGAUUGAAUCUCGCCCCGACUACUUCAAAUUGACUGAAUCUUGUAGAGAUUUCUCGACGUGACUGCCUCUGAUCGACGAGAUCUCGAAGCAGUUUGUCUUUCUGCUCGGCAGAGUCUUCAGACAUUCUGAUUGAUGUGAUCAAAAGAGAAGUGGCUUUCCCCUGCUCAACGGAGGUCUCAGGCGUUUAGAACCAUCAAGUUCUUUCAUUGUGGCAGAUCUCUUGAUGUCAGGUGCUUACUCACGAGUAAGACAAGUCCAUUCUUGAAAUGAUAAUGCAAUGUCAUUUUUGUGCAGUUUUGAAAUCCAAACAUGCUCACUGAAAUUCUGACAUUUAAUGAAUGUAUCAUUGAUAACGAAUGUCACAUAUCAAUAUCAACACAUAUGAGUAAAUUGAUGAGGAGUCAGUUUUAACACAAUCGUUCUGACUAUAUUACGCCUUCGAAAUAAACCUUUGCUUUAAUUAGGUCUUUUGAGGGUUGUAACAUGGUCUGGUUCACGGUUUUUGAAAGAAAGGAUAUAAGGCUCGAACCUAACCUAACCUAACCCACCCGCUCUUCGUGAUGUUCUCUAGUCUUACGUUUAACUAGUUUGAAACAAACGCUCUUCUUCCAAAAGGGACUUGGGAGUGAAAGUUAAUGAACCCCAGAGGUUCUUGGUGUGGCAGUCAUGCACCUUCUAUUUGGUUUGGUAGCCACACGACUUUGCUCUUGCUGAGGAUUUUCUUUUGAUUCCUCUUAUGCAGAUUUUUUGAUUUUCCUACUUUUGCUGGAUCGGUUCAGAUUUACAAUCCACAUGGAUGCCCUAAAUUUGGCCUAAGUCACUCGUUUUCGAGCUUUCGACUUAGCGGGCUUUCUUUCUUUUUGUUUUUGUUUUCUCGUUCUUUCUUUGUUUCCUUUUGCUGAAACAAAUCGUGUGACGUCUGUCCAUUGAUUUGAAUGGGUUGUGACCGCCUCGUGCCUCUGUGGGUGAGGGACAACCAUUUGGAAUUUGGUGGUUUCCGACCUCUUAUAAGGGAUAAGAUAUGGUUGAUCCUCAGAUAGGACACUCCUCUUUUGAAGUUUGAACACUUGGUCAAACUGACUGACGGCUACCCUGCCCCGGUUUGAGAUUAAGGGUUUUAUAUUUAAGAAAGAAACUCCCACUCCUUGGCUCGAAGGGGUUGACUAGGGAUUAUCUUCCUUAUAUCUCCGGUGUUUGGGAUUUGAAACAAUGCCUUACAUCAUCAGCAAGGUUUUAUUCAAAAGCGUACGAGCAGUGAAUUCGUGUUUUUAAUUUCAUCAUCCUCCUCAAAAACCAAUAUUCAAAUAUUGAUAAGAUAAAGUAUGAGUGGACACGAAUGGGUCUAUUCAAAACAUGCAUAUUCAUUUCAAUGUCAUUAUUAUUCAAAAACAAACGAGUUUAUUACAAAUGAAUGUUACAAAUGACAAUCGAGAAAAUCACACAUGAACAUGAUUGAACCAGAAAUUGCUGAAAUGAUCUGCUUUAUUCUCCCACUGCUUGAGGUCUUGAUUUUGGAAAGAGCCGACGAGACAAUUCCACAGAUACCAAUCCUUUAAAUCUACUGUUGCUCUGACUACGACGCUGUAGAUGUACUUGCAUGCACGGGGUUGUUUGGAACAACUGGCUUGAAUGAUAUUGCUUUUGAGUAAAUCAAGUCUUGUACUUUGUGCUUGAAGACAUUGCAAUUCUCGAUCGAGUGCCCCCGCGUCCCAGAGUGAUACUCGCAACUGACGUUCAUGUCAUACCCAGGAGGAAGAGGUACAGGAGGAGCCUUAGCUUCUCUCAGUUGGACCUGCGAAUCUUUGAGCAAAUGAGCUAGCAGGAGACCAUACGGCAUGGGAACUGGAUCAAACCUUAUGGGAGGCCUUCUUGGUCCUUGUCUACCCUGCUGAUAGUAGUUCUGUUGUUGCGGAGCAACCAGUUGCUGAGGAGCGUAGGGCUGCUAAUAUUGCAUCGCUGGAGGACCAGUUGGAAUGACAUACGCUGGUUGCGGAUAUGGGUUAGGUGUUACUGCUGCCACCGGAUCGUAUGGCAUUUGGUAACCUCCAUCUCCCCCUUUAGUGAUUGCGCUGGUCUAUCCUUCCUUCUUCUUUGAGAAUCCGGAAUGAGGCUUCUUCGCUCCACUAGCCGCAACUGUUGUGUCUUGUAUCUUGUCGAUCUUCAAGUCAUUCUCAAUUCGCUCGCCGGCAAUGACCAAGUCUGAGAAUCCCGAGGUGGUACUCCCAAAUCAUUUUUUCAAAAUAUGACCCUUGAAGGGUAUUGUAAGACCCUAAUUUUGACCCUAAGAUCCCUCAUGGCAUCAUAUCAUUGCUCAGUGCAUUGCCUCAAGGAUCAUAGCAUGCUUGGCUCCUUAACCCUAAGUAUGAGACUUGUGUGAGUGGUUUGAGACUACCAAGCAUGCUUGUAUUAUAUAUUAUUGUUUUUCUUAUUUUGUUUACUAACCAAAAGCACAAAAAUAUGUCACUAACUCUUUUUGUUUUGAAGCUCAAGUGAUCAUGUGCUCCCAUGCUCCUAGGAGGCUCCUAAGCUCAAUGAUAUGGCUAGAUGAAGAUGAUAAAAAGCAUGACAAUGGUCCACAAAGUUCCUAAUCAUCAUAUCUGUCUCCCAAGUAUCUCAAUUUGCCAAUUUGAUCAAGAUAAACCAAAGGGCUUGAGGAUUGUUUCCCAAGGAAACCCUAAUUUGAAUUGUGCUUUGACAGUGCCUUGCCCAUGAAGCAACCUCAACCUAUGAUAAAAUUUAAUCAAGGGAAGUUCUUUCAUUCAUUAUUUUAUGCAUAUGUGAGUCUAUUUGAGGAUUCUCAAUCAUUCAUUCAUCAAGAUUGGAAGUUUGGCCUUGGAAAGUUGACCAGUCAAGUCAUCUGACUAAACUGAGGUCCACUAAGAUAUAACUUUUGAUGUGUUUGUCAAAUGAAGAUGACCCCAAGAGAAUAACUAUUCUUAAUAACCAUAUGAACAACUUUAAUGUUCAUCAAAAAUCCAUUUUAAUCUUUUAAAGUCAUCAAUCAUUUCAAAACAUUAUAGGUCAUUUUGAUUGAAACCCUAAUUUUUGGUCAACUUCCCAAGGACCUAACUUCCUUAAUUUUUAUGAUUUUGAGGUAAGACAAAAUGAAUUGGAAAUAUUAAGAUGUCUACUUAAAAUUUUAUGUUGUAUAAAAUUUCAUAAUCUUAAAAUAAAUACAUGUGAUAAUAAAAAACAUUAUAGGUCACCUUGGACCCAAGUCAUUGAAUUUGAAAAAGUACCUAACUUCAAGUGCCCAUAACUUUUUCAUGGAAAAUCCAAAUGAUGCAAAGUUUGAGUCUAAAUUGAUCAUCUUGAAAAUACAUACAACUUUUAUGUUGGAGGUUUUUUCAUUUGAGGCUUUCAUCAUGCAAACAGAGGGGCUUGAAGAGGCUUGCUUUUGGUGAAAAUUUUCAAAGGAUGACCUAGACAUGUUUUGUGCCCAAACUUUCACAGCCAGUUUUCAUUAAUUUUCAAAUUCCAAAUGAAUUUUUUCCCAACAUGACUUUUGUUCCUUAUUUCAAGAUCUUUCCAACCAUUACUCGCAUUACUUUUUUGGACUUUCCAUUGGUGAGUUUCGAAUAGUUCUUUCUCUAUGUUCAUUUUUGCAUUUCAUGUUGAAACUUAAUGUGCAAGCUGAUUACAUCACAAUUGCAUGUCCAAUUCCAUUUUAGUUGAUCUCAGCAUGGUUUAGCACCCAUCAUUGGGCCUAACAUGCGCCUGUAAAGGCCCAUGCACCAAAGUUCAAAUUUGCCAUGCACACGAGGGAAUCAUGAACUCAACCCUCUUCAGCUAUAAAUAAGCACUCAAUCUCAUUCAUUUGGUAACCUUGUGGAGACCUGAAAUACUGCAGCACUGAAAUCCCAACCAAUACCAAAGGAAUUUUCAGAUUUUUCUCUCUUUUCCAAGCUUUAAAUUCAACAUCAUUAAUUGAUUUUCAAAGCUCAAUUCCUUAGCCUAUCAUCUCCAUUACAUCUCCAGAGUAGCAAGGGAUCAAGAUCUUGAAGAAUUCGUGGCUUUAAGAGCUCUAUUUCAUAGGUAGAACUUCAAACUUUUUGGAUCUAGAUCUUGCAAUUCAAUGUAGUUUUCUUUGGUUUGUGUGGUUUUCUGAAGUCCUCACACUUGAGGCAGGCCAGAGGUGGUCUCAAUUCUUCAUUUCGUGCAUUUGCAGUUGAUAUACCAUGAUCUUUCAUCUCACAUUUCUCUCAAAAUAGGAAGAGUGGGAAAGAUCCAUGGAUAUAGUGGUGAUGUACAUCACCUGAGCUUCAUUUUGAUGUCCUUGUUUUUCAUUUUCGUUACAAAAAAUUUCUCUGCAAGUGGUGGUCGAAAUCUGGUAUCUCACCAGAGAAGAUGGUGGUUUACACCACCAUCACCACGUGGUUGCCUUCCGAGCCCUUGGAUUGCCAUGCAACGUUAUAAUCUUGACCACUCCUUAUGUUUACUUAUUUUAAUUCAACAUGCUGCGCGCUUGAAUUAUGUCUACCAUGCGUCCUCACCUCUGAGCCCUUGAUCUGUGCCAUGUCAAUUAAUAAGGUUGAUCCUGUUGCACUGGAUUUUUCAUCUUUUCUAUUUUCAUUUUAAUUUCAGUUAAUUCCUUUUAUUUUUAAAAAUUCAUAAAAAAAUUAUUUGAAGUCACAAAAAUAUGAGACCAACUCCAAAAAAUUUCUUGAAAAAUCUAGUUUCAUAUUUUGAUUUUUAAAUAUUUUUGUGAUUUCAUUUAAGAUUUUUUGUGAAUUAUUUGGUUUUUAAUAGUUUUAAUUCAUUUUAAAAUACUUUAUGAUAUUUGAAAAAUCCAAAAAUAUGUUCCUAACACCUAUGGACCAUGUUAAGUCAAUGAAUAAUAGUCUCAUCAAUUUCUGAUUUGAUUUGAGAUUUUAAUUCAUACUGUGUUAUUUUUUAUUGUUUUUAAUUGUUUUAAAAUAGUUUUUGAUUUCCAAAAUUGUUGAGAAAAUUUGUCAAAGUUUAUUUGACCAUGUUAGACCUAUGAGAAUUUAAUUGGACUUGUUGAAGUUGAUUUGAAUUAAAUUUGAGGUUUGACCUUAUUUUGAUUAUUUUUAUUUUGUAUUUUAUUUUAACUCAAAAAUACCAAAAAAUUAUGGUUGACUUGUUGACUUGUAACCUUCAUUUCUUUUCUGUUUGCCAUUGAGUGAUGAUGACUUGGUUCACAUUUGAUCAAUUGAAUUUGAUACUUGUCCUCCUUUUCCCUCCCUUUCAUCUUCAUCCCAUUCUUUCAUUAAUAACCAAUGAGUUAAUGUCUUAUGGUUGGUCUUGACAAAUGAGAGGUUUAACCUUCUUUGAUCCAAACCAAACUCAACUUGAUCCAUGAUCAAGUGAGUUGUUUUGUGUCUAAGAUAGGUUGCUUCUUGGUCAAGCAAAUAACCUAAAGUCCAUACAAGACCCUUCCCCUCUUGUUUUGGCAUGGCAAGUUUGUGGAGCUUGGCUUACUAGUCAUGAUCUCUAACUUGUGUUUAUUGGCCUAUAGUUUUAUUGACCGGCCUCAGAUAGGUGUGACUACUACAUUAGUCCACUUACGAUUGCUUAACAUAGCGCUACAUUGUCUUAUGACAAACUAACAUAACUUCACUAAUUACUAACUUUAAUUUGAACAUUUAAUUUCUUGCCCUUUACUUUUAAUGCCAUUUAUUUCUUGCUCAUCUAUUCAUAUUGCUUUUCGUUUUGCUCAUUUGAGCACAUAUUUUAUGUCUAUGUCAUUUUUCUUUUGCUCAUUUGAGUUCAUUAUUGUAUAUAAAUAUAUUGUUGUCUUGUGAUUGCUUUGUCUUUAUUUUGUGUGAACCUAAUACAAAAAGGAGAAAGGACUUAGAAUUAGGACAUACCUAUGCUUAAAGGAGUUCAAGAGCAACUAGGCCUCAUGCCUUUAGAAUGCUAAAUUUGUUGAAGAGUAACUAGGCCUCAUGUCUUUAGAAUGCUAAUUUCAAAGAUUGAUCUUAAAGUACUUCUCAUCCAAGCCUAUUCUUUGUCCAUUCCUCUUAUUGUGUGGUGAACUUUUUGAUCUUUGUUCUUGCGUGAUAGGGAUUCCAUCUUGAGAUAGUGAAAAGAUGACCAUUGUCAUGAGUAGCCAAGUUUAGAGAGACAAGUCAAAUGGAGAUCCUAGGAGCUUGAAUCCAAAUUGUUUGAUUGCUUGAUUGUGUGCUAAGUCCAAAGGAAAAGAGAAUCUUGAAUCAUCUCUAUGAUUUCAAGAAAAGGAACUCCAAGGGUUUAUCUUUUCUUUCUUAUCUUUGUAUGCUUUAGGACUAGCCCUUCUCUUCUUCUCCCCACUCUAACCCAAGCCAAAAAUCUUUUCUUCAAAACUUUGACUUUGUUUUAAAUUAGAAACCUAGGCCUUAUGCCUUUGACUUUUCAAACUCUUUUCAUAAAUACUCGUUGUGAAUAAACAUUAAUCCAACUUUGACCUUAUUUUGUAAAUAAAUCUAACUUGUAAAUCACUUCAAGUUGAUUUUGUGGUUCCAAUGGCCACCUUUGUUAAAACCUUUUCAUAAACAUUAGUCAUAGGUUUGAGUUAUCAUAGUGGUUGAUGUAAAUCUCACCUUAUCCUUAGUGAUUGGAUUAUAAGUCUUCCAUACUUAUUAUAGGGUUAACCCCUCACUAGUAUGUUGAAGCUUUCCUCACAUGGUGGAUUGUUGGUUUAGGUUGAGUUUUCUCCCUUAGAUAACAAAAGACCUUAAGGCUUUUGAUCAAAUCAAUUCCCCAAUCUUUGAGAUUUUUUACCCCGAACUACGAGGUUUUGAUCCUACCUUUNNNNNNNNNNNNNNNNNNNNNNNNNNNNNNNNNNNNNNNNNNNNNNNNNNNNNNNNNNNNNNNNNNNNNNNNNNNNNNNNNNNNNNNNNNNNNNNNNNNNNNNNNNNNNNNNNNNNNNNNNNNNNNNNNNNNNNNNNNNNNNNNNNNNNNNNNNNNNNNNNNNNNNNNNNNNNNNNNNNNNNNNNNNNNNNNNNNNNNNNNNNNNNNNNNNNNNNNNNNNNNNNNNNNNNNNNNNNNNNNNNNNNNNNNNNNNNNNNNNNNNNNNNNNNNNNNNNNNNNNNNNNNNNNNNNNNNNNNNNNNNNNNNNNNNNNNNNNNNNNNNNNNNNNNNNNNNNNNNNNNNNNNNNNNNNNNNNNNNNNNNNNNNNNNNNNNNNNNNNNNNNNNNNNNNNNNNNNNNNNNNNNNNNNNNNNNNNNNNNNNNNNNNNNNNNNNNNNNNCAUAGUCUUGUUGACUUGUGUGGAGUUAUUCCUUAGCAAGUUGACUUGCAAGCCCAUUCACUUGGUGGAGGUCUUGUUGGGAUCAAUAAUGUCACACGAGUAGUCGUGGUUAGGCAUUACUCUUUCCAAUAUAAACCUUAGAAGCCAAGGACCUUAGAUACCUAGCCCAUCUUGGCCUAUUUUAGGAUGUAGUGCGAAGGUCGUUCAAGUGUAAGAUUUGAUACGAUUAUUAUGCGAUACUAGACUCAUAAGAGUCUCUCUUGAGAAUAUUUUUGGAAUACGAGUAGUUGUUUUAUCCGAUAAUAUCUGAAAGAUGAGAUGAUGACUAUGAGGACCUUUUUAGAACAUGAUUGUCAGGUUUAACCAUAGUACACUCCUGUUUGGGUGGUUCUUAACCAAGACUUCAUGCUCGUGACUCUCAAUAAACCCUUGAUUCGCGGUUGAUACAUUCUUGUAUAUCCUUAAUAUCAAUGGAACUUGGGUGUUGAUAAGGUGUAAACCAUAAUCCACCAAAAUGGAUGAUUGAUAUUAACGAUAACUUGAGCCAUCCCGUGACCUUUGUGUGGUGUGACUUGCUUGAUCCUUGAGUGUGAUUGUUGCAUCCAUGCAUUCAUGCAUUCAUUCGCAUUCAUGUCAUCCACAAUAAAGAUUUUCAAGGAACUUAAGAGGUCUAUUUGCAAAUUUUCAGACAUGGAUAAGCAAAGAAGGAAUACAAAGAAGUACAGUUUCAGACAACCCAACUUGAAAGAGUUAAGGAGUUUGGCAUCUUAUUUAUUAUAGCCCUUGGAGUUCAAAGCUCGCCAUGGGAAGCUUCUAUCUAUUCUUUCUUCCAAGGUGGAUGAGGGUCUGAUGAGUGUGUUGGUGCAGUUCUACGAUCCUCUAUAUCGGUGCUUCACUUUUCCGGAUUUCCAGCUUGUGCCUACACUUGAGGAGUAUGCUUAUCAUGUGGGUAUACCUAUUCUUGACCAGUUGCCGUUCAGUGGUUUAGAGAAGAUUUCAUCUUCCCAAGAUAUUGCUGACAUGCUUCAUAUGGAUGUAUCUGAUAUUGUUGCUAAUAUGACUACCAAAGGUGGAAUUCAAUGUCUCCCAUCUGAUUUUCUAAUUGCCAAAGCUACCUUGUUUGGGAAGGCCAUGAGUAAGGAAGCUUUUGAAGCCAUAUUUGUACUCCUCAUCUAUGGGCUAGUGUUAUUUCCUAACAUCGACAACUUCGUGGAUCUGAACGCUAUUAGGAUUUUCUCUUCUCUUAAUCCCGUUCCGACUCUGUUGGGUGACACUUAUUUCUCUUUGCAUAUGAGGAAUGCAAAGGGUGGUGGUUCCAUUGUGUGUUGUCUGCCUCUAUUGUACAAGUGGUUUAUUUCGCACUUGCCUCAGACGCUUGCCUUCAAGAAGAACAAGGGAUGUCUACGAUGGUCCACGAGACUUAUGUCUCUCACUAAUGAUGAUAUCUCUUGGUAUAACCGUGUUUAUGAUGGUGUUCAGAUUAUUGACUCUUGUGGUGAGUUCUCCAAUGUACCUCUUCUUGGUACAUAUGGUGGAAUUAACUACAACCCUGCUUUGGCUCGCCGUCAGCUUGGGUUCCCCUUAAAGGAUAAACCUAACAACAUUUUGUUGGAAGGAUUGUUCUUUCAAGAGGGUAAAGAUCCCCAAAACUUGAAGGAUAGGAUGGUCCGCGCCUGGCGCAAAGUUCAUAGGAAAGGGAGGGUUGAGCUUGGUCCGAAGAAUUGUGUCGCUUUGGAACCUUACACCGCUUGGGUGAGGAGGAAAGAUCUUGAGUAUCAUAUGCCUUAUGAAUAUCCGAGACCUACUCUUAUGGUUAUGGUUGGGCCUUCAACCCUCCCUAAUCAAGGAGUAGAGGAGUUGAGAGACGAAGACCGUUCGCGUGCAUGGGUUCGUGAGCAUGAGGAACUUCUUCAACAACUCAGAGAUAAGGAUGCAGUGAUAGAGUUUCUAGAGCAUCAGGUUAUUGAUGAGCCUGAUGAUGUGGUUACUUCUCUUCUUCCUCACUCGUCCAGAUUUUGGAAGAGGAAGUAUGAUCAGUUUGCCAAAGGGAAAACCGAUAUGGAAGCAACUUAUGAGAGAGAGGUGAAGAGGCUUCGUGCAACUUAUCUUCCGAUCUCGAAGGCUUUGGAUGAUUGCUUCUAGGGCUCCAUAGGAUGUUUAUUCUCCUUUCCUCUUGUAUUGUAUUUGGUUACCAAAAUUGUACUACUUCUUUGGUGUAAAAAGUUUCCAAAUAUUAUUGCUAUGAGUAUUCCGUAUAUGUCUUAAAAGAUCAAUAUUUUCCAAAUAUUUGCAAAUAGAUCUCUAAAAAGUUCCUCGGAUUUAAAAACAAGUCAUAUGCACAAGUAUUGCAUGCAUCAUAUGCAUAAGCAGGUUUUGUUCCGAGCUCUUGAUCAGUGGUCUAACUCUUUGCUUUUCAUUUAUUUUGAAGACAAGCUGACGCAUCGGUAUAAUACCAGAGCAAAUCAUCUGAAGAUAAUGGAAUAUCUCGAGCAAGAGAACAGGGACCUGAAGGAAGAGAUCGCUAGGCUGACUGCAAUGAUGGAGUCAGUUCUGGCCGCGCAAAGUCAAGCUUCACCAACUCCUGCAACUCCUCCCGCGAGGACGGUCAUUUCUGAGGUAACUACUUCAACAGUGCCUGCUGCAACAGCCCAUUUCGCUUCUACUAUACCAGUUGGAUUCCCUUGGGGAAUGCCAUCCAACUUCAUACCAGAGGGUUUUGCUCCUACCCUUGCUUCUAUGCCGACAUCUAGCUCAGUCCUGUCUGUGCCACCUCCUGUUGUGCACACUCUUCCCCGUGUAGAAGAUACCAUUUAUCAUUCCGAGCCAUCUGAGGGCCCAGACGUAUAUGAGAAGAUGGAUGAAAUGAAAGAUCAAUUCUUUGAGCUACGCAAGGAACUGAAGACUUUGAGGGGUAAGGACCUCUUUGGGAAAAGUGUUGCUGAGUUGUGCCUGGUGCCCAACGUGAAGAUCCCUAUUAAAUCCAAAGUGCCUGACUUUGAGAAGUAUAAGGGAAAUACAUGUCCACUCAGCCAUCUUGUGAUGUAUGCUCGCAAGAUAUCAACACAAACUGACAACGACCAACUGCUGAUUCACUACUUUCAAGAUAGCCUGACAGGUGUUGCGCUCCGGUGGUAUAUGGGGCUGAAGAGUGCAAGCAUCCGCAUUUUCAAUGAUUUAGGCGAGGCCUUUGUAAAGCAGUAUAAAUAUAAUAUGGAUAUGGCUCCAGACAGGGACCAAUUGAGGGCAAUGUCCCAGAAGGAUAAGGAGACAUUCAAGGAAUACGCCCAGAGAUGGCAAGAACUGGUAGCUCAGAUAGUGCCACCCCUGGAAGAGAAGGAGAUGACAAAGAUCUUCCUGAAGACUUUGGGAUCUUUCUAUUAUGAGAGAAUGAUUGCUAGUGCUCCCUCAGACUUCACCGAAAUGGUGAAUAUGGGAAUGAGACUAGAGAAAGGGGUCCGUGAAGGACGUUUAUCUCGAGAUGAUGGUUCCUCAAUAAAGAAGCAUAGAGGCUUUGCUAGGAAGAAAGAGGGAGAGACUCAUGUUGUGUCCUCUCAUGUUAAAAGAAGGCCCUCUAUGAGGAGGAAGGAUGUACGUCCAACUGUCAACCAACACCAGGUGGCUCAUAUAGCACCUGCUUUCAGAGAAGUUCAUCAACAACAACCACAACAACAAUAACAUUGUUAACAACAAGAGGCUUACCAGCCCCGCAACACUAACAACACCAACACCAUCAACUAUGAGAGGAAGAGGGUGACUUUUGACCCGAUUCCGAUGACUUAUAUCGAGCUUUAUCCUUCCUUGAUCGAUAGGAAGCUGAUAACUCCUCGUGAUCCUCCUGAUGUUCCAGCCAAUCCUCAAUGGUGGUACAAGCCUGAACUCCAUUGUGUAUAUCAUUCUGGUGCUCUAGGACAUGAUGUUGAGAAUUGCUAUCCAUUGAAGACCAAGGUGUAGGACCUUGUGAGGAGUGGGAUACUAUUCUUCGAGGACGUAGGCCUGAAUGUAAAGAAGAACCCAUUGCCCGAGCAUGGGAAAGCAUCUAUUAAUAUGGUUCAGGGGUGCCCUGGAAAAUACAAAGUCCUUUAUGUGAAUGACAUAAGGCAAUCCUUAGUUGAGAUGCAUAAGUUGUUGUGUGAACACAACCAUUAUGAGCAUGAUCAUGAUAGGUGCCAGGUGUGCACUAUCAAUGAGAGAGGAUGUCGUCAAGUGAGAAAGGACAUCCAAGAGAUGUUGGAUCAAGGGAUGAUUGAGAUACUUCAGAAUCGUAAUGAGGACGAAGUCGAUGUUAUCACUCCCGUGUUUAAGAUUCCUGAGCCUGUUGUUAUCAAGUAUGAUGGCAACAAGAAGAAAGUAUCGCCAACACUUGUGAUCAAGCCAGCGGGUCCUGUCCCGUAUGUAUCAGACAAAGUUGUUCCUUACCGAUAUAACGUUGUUAUGCUGGAGGAUGGAAAGGAGGUGCCGUUUGUAACAACCCAAUUUUUAGUAUUUAUUUAUUAUACUAUUAUUACUUUUGUGAAGUGUUAAUUAAUUAUUUAGUUGAUAGGAGAUAUCAUGAAUAAUUGAAUUAAUUAACUUGGUGGAUAUAUGGUGUUAGUUUAAUUUAUUUGAAUUAAAUAGAGAUAUUUAAAUAUUAGGUAUUAUUGGCUAUUAAUUAAAUUAGAGUAUAUGAUUUAAGCCAAAAUGAAUACUAAUAUAAAUAGUAAGAGGUGAGGAAGAGUGAGAUAUUGAGGAUUUCAUCUUGAUCAGUUGAAGGCAAUAGAGAAAGAGGAGGAGGAAAAAGUAAAAAGAGAAAGCUAGGGUUUCCAGAAAAUUGACCGAGGUAAAGGGGGGAAUCUUAUUAUUAUGGGUUAGUAGAUUGGCCGUCAAUGGGUAGAAUGUAUGUUUAGGUUAAAUCCCUAAUUUUGUAUGGUUUGUUUGGAAUUGUUAGGUUUUGAUGAGUAUGCUCGAUUAUGGUGAUUGGAUUUGUGUUUUAAAACUGCAAAUUAACAUUAUAUAUUUAGAGUAUUGGUGUGAGUAUAAUUUUUCUGAACGUGUUGGCUUUUUUUUUAACGGAAUCGGAAUCCGGAAGGUUCCGAAAGGUCCUCCAACGAUAAAACGCAUAAAUUCUGGCAUUCUGUUUUGUGUUAACGCAGGAAAUAACAAUCAUGUUUGCGUUAACGCGGGUUAACCACAAGGCGUUAAACUGGUUAACACUGUUGAAACUUGUUAAAUUUGUAUUCUGUCUUGCGUUAACCGGUUUAACACGGUUUGAAAUUUCCACGGAAGUUGCAUUCUGUGUAGCGUUAACCCGAUUAACGCUAUGAAUGCGUUAACCGGUUAACACUAGUUUGAAAAAGUGAAAAAUUGAGAUUUAAAUGUUGUAUUUUAUUUUGAAAUGCAAUUCUAAGUGUGUUGUAGUUGAUGAUUAAGCCUAUAUUUGGGUGAAUGAUAUACUGUUAUGAAAUGUGUAUAUUGUACCAAUUGUUGGAUUGUGAAUGAUAUAUUGUUAUGAAUGUUUUAAUAUGUACCAUGGUGGAUUGUGAAUGAAUAUAUUGUUAUGAAUGUGUAUAUGUACCAUUGGUGGAUUUGGUGAAUGAUAUAUUGUUAUGAUGUGUAUAUGUAUCAUUGGUGGAUUGUGAAAUGAAUAUAUUGUUAGAAUGUGUAUAUGUAGCCAUUGGUGUAUGAUUCAUAGAGUUGAAAUUAUGGUGAUAUGUGGAAUAUUAAGAUGGUAGUAGAUGAUGCUUAAUUGCCAUAUGUAAUUUGGUAUUUGUACAUUCAUGUCAUGGCAUGGUCGACUUCAUUGUGGAGCGGUGAAACUAUGGUUCACAUGGUAUUAGACGUUGAUUCCUUGAAUGGAAAUAGGCGUAGCAGAUGUUGAUCCCUUAAUUGGAAAUAGAGCGUAGUGGCUUAGAUUCUAGAUAUUGAAUCGAAAAGGUGGACCGUUGGCUCCAUAUAGACGUUGAUCCUUAAUUUGGAAAUAGGCAGUAAAGACGUUGAUCCUUAUGGAAAUAGGCGUGGCAAUAGACGUUGAUCCUAAUGGAAAUAGGCGGUAGCGGAUGUUGAUUCCUUAAUUGGAAAUAGGCGUGGUAAAUAGACGUUGAUACCUUAUUGGAAAUGGCCAUAACAAGACGUUGAAUCCUUAAUUGGAAAUAGACGUGGUGGCUUGAAUUUUACGAUAUUGAAUCGGCAAGCCGGUGAAAACAUUGGGUUCACAUUAUGGUACCGACAAUGCAUAAGUCACCAUGUCCUGCAUUGAGUCACACUAUGAGUUAUGUGAUAAAUUGAAUGUUUGCAUUGAUGUGAUUUGAUGUGUGUAUGAGAUUAUGGUAAUUGAAUUUGAUGAUGUUUGAAGUAUGUGAAUAAUGUGAAUGUUUGCAUUGAUGUGAUUAUGAUGUGUGUAUGUAAGAUAUGGUAUCUGAAUUUGAUGACGUUUGAUACAUAACUUGACUAAAUAUGUGCUUAUGUGAUAAUUGUGUUAUGUGUAUAUUUGAGAUUAAUAUUGGAUUUGAAUAUUAUACUCCUUGAGUUUUUUAUGUGGUGCUGAAACAUGUGAAUAUAAAUUUGGUUAAUAUUAUUUACAUGGUUAUUAUAAAGGGUGAAUGACUUGUCCUUUAUUGUGAUUUAAUCAUUGGUGCUUGAUUUAAUACUUCCUUCAUAAUGAUUUGAAUUCUCACCCUUUUCUGUUUGAAUGUUACCUUUACAUGGGUAUCUGCGCAGCAUACUCAGGAGUAGUAUCGGCUGAAGUAAAGUGGACGGUAGCUCACUCGAGAUUAGCUGGAAGAGCUGCGGUAUCUUCGUUAGAGACCUAAGUAGUGAGUCAAUGCUCUGGUCAUGUAACACUGGGUUAGAUUGGUUAAGUAUUGAAGCUCAUGUCUUAUUUGGAUACGUUUUAUGGUAUUACUUGUGAACAGUUUAAUUUGAAGAGGUUAUUGAGAAUGCUCAUGGUAUGGGACAUGAUCAUUUUAUGAAAUACAUGAGUAUUCAUUAUUUUCGCUGCGAACAGCUAUAUGCUUUGAAUAUUCAUGAGAAGUGGAUGUGUUUAUUUUAAAUGACCAUGUGUAUUGGUAUAUUGAUGAAUGAUAAUGUUGGUUUUGAAAGCUCUUAGUUUUUGAAAAAUGUCGAUGUGAACACCCUUAUUGUUUAUAUGCGUGCUUAUUUACUCUGAUUAUAUUUAAGAGUAUUUUUGGGAUAGAAAAGGGUGUUACACGUUGCCUCGUCACUUCUGUGGUGAGCAUCUUCAGAUGUUCAGUGGAGUGACCCGUAUGGUCGUGUUUUCUCGGCUACAGCCGAAAUCGCCAUGAAGACUCAUGAGAAGAAUGUUGGAUAUCCUGGCCAGUCCCGUGGGGACUUUUCUUUGAUAUUAUGUUCCUGUUGUGAAGGGUGUUGCCCCUGUUGUUGUGAAAAUCAAUCCACACUUCCUAUCCUGGUUGGCCAGUCUGGUAUUUUGAAAAGAGGCAUGGUGUUGAGAUGCUGAGGCUCAUCAAAAGCGUGAAUAUAAUGUUGUUGAUCAGCUGCUACAUAACUCCAUUAAAGGAUAUUUUGUCUAUCUUUUUUUGCUGAAUUCCGAGCCACAACCGCGAAGCUUUGCAAGGGUGUUUGACGUGGAUACAUAGACCAUGAUGUCACAAUUCGAGCAGUUUGAUAGCAUUGUUGCAAAUAUACUGCCUGCAACAAUUUGAGCUUCUGUGAUGCCUGAUCUUCCCGAGGAGGGAAAUACCACAUUUGGCUUUACAUAUAUCUAUGAAUUUGUAAACAAUGAUGCCCCUGUCCAAUGUGUUGGUGGACACAUUAGGGGUUCCAUCACUCAAUGGUAUUGCAAAAUGCUACUCUUGCUAAACUUCAUAUCAGGGGCCUCCCAUGAGGCAGCGUGGAGGUGGUAAGUGAAGGCUUUCGAUGGAAUCGGCAUAAACACUAUGAUUAGCGACUUAGAAACUCCCAAUCAAGAUUGGAUUCUAGUAUUCCAAAUCACCUUCCAGGGUCAGGGAUAUUCAUCCGUCUUAUAAUUGUUGCUUGGCAGACCCUGGAUUCAGAGGCAGGCGCUGUUGACCAUCCAUCUCUACAACCAAAAGUUGAAGUUCAUCAAGAAUAAAAAGUUGGUAGGUGAUAGGGGGACGAGAAGGCUCUCUUGGUCAGCCAUUAAUCUCCUUUUCUACAUGAUGCGAGGAAUGAGGUUGGAACUCCGUUCGAAGCCUUAUUUAUGCUGAGGCUCUAGGAAAGGACUUUCUUAUUUGGUCUCCUAUAAUGAUUGCGAAGUUGGUCAAUUGAGGCAUGUGCAACUACUAGUUUGGGGAAAAUUAUCAAGUUGGAAGAUUAACAAGUCUCGGGCUUGAAUAGGGUAUUUGUUCUGGUGUUUCCAAUGAUCUUAGGCUGUUUCAGAGUGGAGGUUUCAUCCCACCACUGUUGAAGAUUCAGGAAGAUGAUGCCAUCGUUGAAGGAGUGAAGAGGAAGUCGCUUGGCAACUUUGUCAAUACUAGAGGAAUCUGCAAUAAUGGGUCCGCCGUUUGAUGUUCCAACAGUUAUCCAUAAGGUCAACGUAAUGAGUUAUUUGUUUAAAACCCUUGCUCCCAUGCCAAAACAGGAGAAAUGAAGACAUUUUUGGCAUACAUUGAUUAAUACGAUGAUAUUUCAUUCAAUAAUUGCAUGUAAAUGUUUUGUUUUUCACAAUUAUUUUCAAUUUUUUAGCCACUUUUGCAUGAAAUUGGUGAUCCCCAUAAAACUCUAAAAAAAAAAGAGUAAAAAUCAUUUUUUCAUUGUAUAAUGAUUUGCUUGUUUGAAUUCUGAAAUCUCUUUUAUACUCAAAAUCAUUAUGCAGAGUAAUCAAACCCAAUUGAACAUAAUGAUCCAACACCAUCUCCCAACUUUGAAUUCCCUGUAUUUUGAGGCAGAAGAAGAUGAAAUGUUGAAGAGAUUCCUUUUGACCGAGAUUACGCCCGUCUGCUUGAGCACGAGGAGAAGAUCAUUCAGACCACAUCCUUAAGAAUCUAGAACCAGUCAACUUGGGUCUGAAUACUGAAUUUGUGAAGUGAAGAUUGGGGCACUCCUUAAGAGUCUGUUUAAGAAAGGCGGUUGAUGAGUUGCUACGAGAAUAUGUCGACGUCUUUCCGCUGGUCGUUAUGAAGACAGCUUGUCUAGAUCUGAUAUCGUGCACAUUUCUUGCGUUGAAGCCUGCGGUGUGUGUUGUAAGCAGGAAACUCAGAAGAACUCAUCCUGAAUAUGGUAGUCAAAGAUUAAGAAGAAGUUUCAAAACAAAAUUGAUGGCGAGGUUUAUCUGGUGACUUCUACUAUUCCUCAAUGGUGGCCAAUAUUGGGCCUGUGCCUAAAAAGAAUGGAAAAGUCUGAAUGUGUGUGCUUACCGUGACUUGCAUAAGGCUAGUCAAAAGCAUGAUUUUCCUCUACAACAUUGAUAUGUUGGGUAGAGCAAUACCAACUAAUUCAUGUCUUUUUGUUUAUGGAUGGAUUUCCAAUUUAAUAAUCAGAAUUAAAAUGGCACGCCGAGGAUAUGGAGAAGACACAUUCAUCACAACCUUGGGNNNNNNNNNNNNNNNNNNAAAUUGAAGAGGUAAGGGGGGAAUCCUUAUUAUUAUGGGUUAGUAUGAUUGGGUCAAUGGGUAGAUGUAUGUUUAGGUUAAAAUCCCUAAUUUUGUAUGGUUGUUUGGAAUUGUUAGGUUUUGAUGAGUAUGCUCGAUUAUGGUGAUUGAUUGUGUUAAAACUGCAAAUUAACAUUAUAUAUUUAGAGUAUUGUGUGAGUUAUAAUUUUCUGAACGUGUGGCUUUUUACGGAAUCGAAAUCGGAGGUCCGAAAGUCCUCCAACGAUGAAAAACGCAUAAAAUUCUGCAUUCUGUUUUGUGUUAACGCAGGAAUAACAAUCAUGUUUUGCGUUAACCGGUUAACCAAAGGCGUUAACUGGUUAACACUGUUGAAACUCUGUUAAAUUGUAUUCUGUCUUGCGUUAACCGGUUAACACGGUUGAAAUUUCCAGGAAGUGCAUUCUGUGUAGCGUUAACCGAUUAACCAUAUGCGUUAACCGGUUAACACUGUUUGAAAAGUGAAAAAUUGAGAUUUAAAUGUUGUAUUUAUUUUGAAAUGCAAUCUAAGUGUGUGUAGUUGAUAAUUAGCCUAUAUUUGUGAAUGAUAUACUGUUAUGAAUGUGUAUAUGUACCAUUGUUGGAUUGUGAAUGAUAUAUUGUUAUAGUAAGAGGUGAGGAGAGUGAGAAUUAGGAUUCAUUUGAUCAUUGAAGGCAAUAGAGAAAGAGGAGAGGAAAAGUAAAGAGAAGAGCUAGGGUUUCCAGAAAAUUGAAGAGGUAAGGGGGGAAUCUUUAUUAUUAUGGGUUAGUAUGAUCGGGUCAAUGGGUAGAUGUAUGUUUAGGUUAAAAUCCCUCAUUUUGCAUGGUUUUGGAAUUGUUAGGUCUUGAUGAAUAUUCUCGAUUUUUGGUGAUUUGAUUAGGUUAAAACUGUAAAUUAAUGUUAUAUACUUAGAGUAUUAUAUGAGUUAUAAUUUUUUGAACAUGUAGCUUUUUACGGAAUCGAAAUCGGAGGUCCGGAAGUCCUCUAACGAUGAAAAACGCAGAAAAUUCUGCAUGUUGUUUUACAGUAACCGGUUACUCACCGAGCGUUAACCGGUUACUUGCUUAAAAAUCUGCAUUCUGUUAAACUGAGUAACGGGUUAUUCAUUGAGCAUUAACCGGUUACUUGCUUAAAAAAUUGCAUUCUGUUAAACUGAGUAACAGGUUACUUACCCAUCGUUAACCGGUUACUUGCUUAAAAAUCUGUUAAAUCUGUUUCACAGUAACGGGUUACUCACCGAGCGUUAACCGGUUACCACUGUUUGAAAAGGGAAACAUUGAGAUUUAAAUGCUGUAUUUAUUUUGAAAUGCAAUCUAAGUGUGUGUAGUUAAUAAUUAACCUAUAUUCGUGAAUGAUAUACUGUUAUGAAUGUGUAUAUGUACCAUUGUUGGAUUGUGAAUGAUAUAUUGUUAUGAAUGUUUAUAUGUACCAUUGGUGGAUUGUGAAUGAUAUAUUGUUAUGAAUGUGUAUAUGUACCAUUGGUGGAUUGUGAAUGAUAUAUUGUUAUGAAUGUGUAUAUGUAUCAUUGGUGGAUUGUGAAUGAUAUAUUGUUAUGAAUGUGUAUAUGUACCAUUGGUGUAUGAUUCAUAGAGUUGAAUUAUGGUGAUAUGUGGAAUAUUAAGAUGGUAGAGAUGAUCUUAAUUGCAUAUGUAUUGGUAUUUGUACAUUCAUUCAUGGCAUGGUCGACUUCAUUGUGGAAGCGGUGAAACUAUGGGUUCACAUGGUAUUAGACGUUGAUCCUUGAAUGGAAAUAGGCGUAGCAGAUGUUGAUCCUUAAUUGGAAAUAGACGUAGUGGCUUAGAUUCUAGAUAUUGAAUCGGAAAACGGUGGAACGUUGGGUCCAUAUAGACGUUGAUCCUUAAUUGGAAAUAGGCAUAACAGACGUUGAUCCUUAAUUGGAAAUAGGCGUGGUAAAUAGACGUUGAUCCUUAAUUGGAAAUAGGCGUAGCAGAUGUUGAUCCUUAAUUGGAAAUAGGCGUGGUAAAUAGACGUUGAUCCUUAAUUGGAAAUAGGCAUAACAGACGUUGAUCCUUAAUUGGAAAUAGACGUGGUGGCUUGAAUUUUAGAUAUUGAAUCGGCAAGCGGUGAAACAUUGGGUUCACAUUAUGGUACCACAUGCAUAGAGUCACAUGUCAUGCAUUGAGUCACACUAGAGUUAUGUGAUAAUUGAAUGUUUGCAUUGAUGUGAUUAUGAUGUGUGUAUGAGAUAUGGUAAUUGAAUUUGAUGAUGUUUGAAGUUAUGUGAUAAUUGAAUGUUUGCAUUGAUGUGAUUAUGAUGUGUGUAUGAGAUAUGGUAAUUGAAUUUGAUGACGUUUGGAUACAUAACUUGACUAAAUAUGUGAUUAUGUGAUAAUUGUAGUUAUGUGUAUAUUUGAGAAUAUAAUAUUGGAUUUGAAUAUUAUACUCCUUGAGUUUUUAUGUGUGCUUGAAACAUGUGAAAUAAAUGUUGGUUAAUAUUAUUUACAUGGUUAUAUAAAGUGUGAUGAAUUCCUUUAAUUGUCGAUUUAAUCAUUGUGCUUGAUUAAUACUUCUUCAUAAUGAUUUGAAUUCUCACCCUUUCUGUUUGAAUGUUACCUUUACAUGGGUAUCGCGCAGAUACUCAGGAGUAGUAUCGCUGAAGUAAGUGGACGGUAGCUCACUCGAGAUUAGCUGGAGAGCUGCGGUACUUCGUUUAGAGACUAAGUAGUGAGUCAAUGCUCUGGUCAUGUAACACUGGGUAGAUUGGUAGUAUUGAACUCAUGUCUUAUUUGGAUACGUUUUAUGGUAUUACUUGUGAACAUGUUUAAUUGAAGAGGUUAUUGAGAGAUGAUCAUGGUAUGGGACAUGGAUCAUUUUAUGAAAUACAUGAGUAUUCAUUAUUUUCCGCUGCGAACGCAUAUGCUUGAAUAUUCAUGAUAAGUGAGAUGUGUUAUUUUAAAUGACCAUGUGUAUUGUAUAUUGAUGAUGAAUGAUGUUGGUUUUUGAAAGCUCUUAGUUUUUGAAAAUGUCGAUGUGACACCCUUUUGUUUAUAUGCGUGCUUAUUUACUCUGAUUAUAUUUAAAGUAUUUUGGGAUAGAAAAAGGGGUGUUACACCGUUGCCCUCAACUUCUGUGGUGAGCAUUUCAGAUGUCAGUGGAGUGACCCGUAGUGGUCGUGUUUUCUCGGCUCAGCCGAAAUCCCAUGAAGACGUCAUGAAGAGAACUGUUGAUAAUCCUGCCAGUCCCGUGGGGACUUCUUCUUUGAAUAAUUAUGUUCCUGUUGUGAAGGGUGUUGACCCUGUUGUUGUGAAAAUCAAUAACACUCCUAUCCUGGUUGGCCAGUCUGGUAUUUUGAAAGAGGAUGGUGAUGAGAUGCUGAGGCUCAUCAAAAGGAGUGAAUAUAAUGUUGUUGAUCAGCUGCUACAAACUCCAUUAAAGAUAUUUGUCUUAUCUUUUUUGCUGAAUUCCGAGCCACACCGCGAAGCUUUGCAGAGGGUGUUGGACGUGGCAUACAUAGACCAUGAUGUCACAAUUGAGCAGUUUGAUAGCAUUGUUGCAAAUAUAACUGCCUGCAACAAUUUGAGCUUCUGUGAUGCUGAUCUUCCCGAGGAGGGAAAAUACCACAAUUUGGCUUUACAUAUAUCUAUGAAUUGUAAACAUGAUGCCCUGUCCAAUGUGUUGGUGGACACAGGGUCAUCACUCAAUGUAUUGCCAAAAUCUACUCUUGCUAAACUUUCAUAUCAGGGGCCUCCCAUGAGGCAGCGUGGAGUGGUAGUGAAGGCUUUCGAUGGAUCGCAUAAAACUAUGAUUAGCGAAUUAGAACUCCCAAUCAAGAUUGGAUCUAGUGAUUUCCAAAUCACCUUCCAGGUCAUGGAUAUUCAUCCGUCUUAUAAUUGUUUGCUUGGCAGACCAUGGAUUCACGAGGCAGGCGCUGUGACAUCCACUCUACACCAAAAGUUGAAGUUCAUCAAGAAUAAAAAGUUGGUGGUGAUAGGGGGAGAGAAGGCUCUCUUGGUCAGCCAUUUAUCUUCCUUUUCCUACAUUGAUGCUGAGGAUGAGGUUGGAACUCCGUUCGAAGCCUUAUUUAUUGCUGAGCCUUCUAGGAAAGGACUUUCUUCAUUUGUCUCCUAUAAUGAUGCGAAGUUGGUCAUUGAGCAUGGUGCAACUACUAGUUUGGGGAAAAUUAUCAAGUUGGAAGAUAACAAGUCUCGGGCUGGAAUAGGGUAUUGUUCUGGUGUUUCCAAUGAUCUUAGGCUGUUUCAGAGUGGAGGUUUCAUCCACACUGUUGAAGAUCAGGAAGAUGAUGCCAUCGUUGAAGGAGAUGAAGAGGAAGACCUUGGCAACUUUGUCAUACCUAGAGGAAUCUGCAAUAAUUGGGUCGCCGUUGAUGUUCCAACAGUUAUCCAUAAGUCAACGUAAUGAGUUUAUUUUGUUUAAAAACCCUUCUCCCAUGCCAAAAGGAGAAAUGAAGACAUUUUUGGCAUAAUUGAUUAAUACGAUGAUAUUCAUUCAAUAAUUGCAUGUUAAAUGUUUGUUUUCCAAAUUAUUUUUCAUUUUUGCUUUUUGCAUGAAAUUGGUGAUCACCAUAAAACUCUAAAAAAAAGAGUAAAAUCAAUUUUUCAUUUGUAUAAUGAUUUGCCUUGUUUGAAUUCUGAAAUCUCUUUUAUACUCAAAAUCAUUAUGCAGGUUAAUCAAACCCAUUGAACAUAAUGAUCCAACACCAUCUCCCAACUUUGAAUUCCCUGUAUUUGAGGUGCAGGUUAAUCAAACCCAUUGAACAUAAUGAUCCAACACCAUCUCCCAACUUUGAAUUCCCUGUAUUUGAGGCAGAAGAAGAUGAUGUUGAAGAGAUUCCUGACGAGAUUACCCGUCUGCUUGAGCACGAGGAGAAGAUCAUUCAGCCACAUCUUAAGAAUCUAGAAACAGUCAACUUGGGGUCUGAAUACUGCAUUUGUGAAGUGAAGAUUGGGGCACUCCUUGAAGAGUCUGUUAAGAAGGGGUUGAUUGAGUUGCUACGAGAAUAUGUCGACGUCUUUCCCUGGUCGUAUGAAGACAUGCCUUGUCUAGAUACUGAUAUCGUGCAACAUUUCUUGCCGUUGAAGCCUGGGUGUGUGCUUGUAAAGCAGAAACUCAGAAGAACUCAUCCUGAUAUGGUAGUAAAGAUUAAAGAAGAAGUUCAAAAGCAAAUUGAUGCGAGGUUUCUGGUGACUUCUACAUAUCCUCAAUGGGUGGCCAAUAUUGUGCCUGUGCCUAAGAAAGAUGGAAAAGUCUGAAUGUGUGUGGAUUACCGUGACUUGAAUAAGGCUAGUCCAAAAGAUGAUUUUCCUCUACCACACAUUGAUAUGUUGGUAGACAAUACAACUAAAUUCAAUGUCUUUUUGUUUAUGGAUGGAUUUUCCAAUUAUAAUCAGAUUAAAAUGGCACCCGAGGAUAUGGAGAAGACACAUUCAUCACACCUUGGGGAACAUUCUGUUAUCGAGUGAUGCCCUUCGGUUUGAAGAACGUCGGAGCCACGUAUCAACGUGCUAUGACUACCUUGUUUCAUGAUAUGAUGCACAAAGAGAUCGAGGUGUCUAUUGAUGAUAUGAUUGCAAAUUAAAAAACGGAAGUUGAACAUGUAGAACACUUGUUGAAGAUUUUCCAGCGUUUGAGGAAGUACAAACUCCGCUUGAAUCCGAACAAGUGUACAUUUGGAGUCCGUUCCGGCAAGUUAUUAGGUUUUAUUGUCAGCGAGAGAGGUAUUGAAGUUGAUCCUGCCAAGGUCAAAGCAAUACAAGAGAUGUCCGCGCCCAAAAUUGAGAAGCAAGUCCGAGGUUUUCUUGGCCGCUUGAAUUACAUUUCGAGAUUUAUAUCCCACAUGACUGCCACAUGUGCGCCUAUAUUCAAGCUCCUCCAGAAAGAUCAGUGUCAUGUGCAAGUCCGAGGUUUUCUUGGCCGCUUGAAUUACAUUUCGAGAUUUAUAUCCCACAUGACUGCCACAUGUGCGCCUAUAUUCAAGCUCCUCCAGAAAGAUCAGUGUCAUGAUUGGACCGAGGAUUGCUAGAAGGCCUUUGACAGUAUCAAAAAGUAUCUGUCUGAGCCUCCGAUUCUGUCUCCGCCUGUUAAAGGGAGACCACUGAUUAUGUACUUGAUUGUGCUUGAUGAUUCCAUGGGUUGUAUCCUGGGUUAGCAAGAUGAAUCAGGAAAGAAAGAAUAUGCAAUAUACUACUUGAGUAAGAAGUUUACUGAUUGUGAGUCUUGGUACUCCAUGCUUGAGAAGACAUGUUGUGCUUUGGCUUGGGCUGCUAAGCGCUUAUGCCAGUAUAUGUUGAGUCAUACGACUUGGUUGAUAUCCAAAAUGGAUCCAAUAAAGUAUAUCUUUGAGAAGCUUGCUUUAACUAGGAGGAUUGCCUGAUGGCAGAUGUUGUUGUCUGAGUAUGAUAUUGAGUAUCGAGCUCAAAAAACCAUUAAAGGUAGUAUCUUGGCUGACCAUUUGGCGCAUCAACCAAUUGAAGAUUAUCAAUCCGUGCAAUAUGACUUCCCUGAUGAUGAGAUUAUGUAUUUGAAGAUGAAAGAUUGUGAUAAGCCUACGCUCGAUGAAGGGCCAGAGCCUGGUUCUCAAUGGGGUAUGAUGUUCGAUGGUGCUGUUAAUCAGUAUGGAAAUGGUAUUGGGACAGUGAUUAUUACUCCUCAAGACACACAUUUUCCUUUUACAGCAAGGCUAAAUUUCAAAUGCACGAAUAAUAUGGUGGCGUAUGAGGCUUGUAUUAUGGGUUUGGAAGAAUGUAUUGAUCUUAGGAUCAAACAUCUUGAUGUUUAUGGCGAUUUGGCCCUUGUUGUUAAUCAGAUUAAGGGUGAGUGGGAGACGAAUCAUCCUGGCCUCAUCCCAUACAGAGAUUACGCGAGGAGGAUUUCAACUUUCUUUACUAAGGUUGACUUCCAUCAUAUUCCUCGAGACGAGAAUCGGAUGGCAGAUGCCCUCGCUACGCUUGCUUCAAUGAUUGUAGUGAAGUAUUGGAAUAAAGUCCCCAACAUUACUGUGAUGCGCUUGGAUAGACCAGCUCAUGUGUUUACAGUUGAAGAAGCAAAAGACGAUAAGCCCUGGUAUUAUGAUAUCAAGUGUUUUCUUCAAAGUCAGAUUUACCCGCCUGGGGCAUCUAUUAAAUACAAGAAGACUUUGAGGAGGUUAUCUGGCAGUUUCUACCUUAAUGGUGAUGUGCUUUACAAGAGGAAUUUUGACAUGGUUCUACUUAGAUGCGUGGAUAAACACGAAGCAAACUUGUUAAUGACUGAAGUGCAUGAGGGUUCAUUUGGUACUCAUUCCAAUGGACAUGCUAUGGCGAAGAAGAUGUUGAGACCAGGCUACUAUUCGCUGACAAUGGAGUUUGACUGUUGCAAGUAUGUGAAGAAAUGCCACAAGUGUCAGAUUUAUGCGGAUAAGAUUCAUGUUCCCCCGACACUUCUGAAUGUUAUUUCCUCACCAUGGCCUUUCUCCAUGUGGGGAAUUGACAUGAUCAGCACGAUUGAACCAAAGGCGUCGAACGAUCACCGUUUUAUUCUCGUAUCUAUUGGUUACUUCACCAAGUGGAUUGAAGCGGCAUCGUAUGCAAAUGUGACCAGGCAGGUGGUCGUGAGGUUUAUCAAGAACCAACCCAUAUGCUGAUAUGGUGUGCCAGAUAAGAUCAUUACUGAUAAUGGAUCUAACUUGAACAACAAGAUGAUGAAAGAGCUGUGUAGCGAGUUCAAGAUUGCACAUCAUAAUUCUUCUCCCUAUAGACCCAAGAUGCAAUGGUUGUUGAAGCUGCUAACAAGAACAUCAAGAAGAUUAUUCAGAAGAUGGUUGUUACAUACAAAGAUUGGCAUGGGAUGCUGCCAUUUACUUUGCAUGGCUAUCAUACAUCUGUCCGCACUUCAAUAGGGCAACCCUUUUCUCCUUGUAUAUGGCAUGGAGGCUGUGCUCCCCGUAGAGGUUGAGAUUUCAUCAAUGAGAGUCUUGAUGGAAGCCAAGCUGACUGAGGCUGAAUGGGUUCAGAUUCGUUAUGACCAACUGAAUUUGAUUGAAGAGAAGAGAUUAAUGCCAUGUGCCAUGGUCAGUUAUAUCAGGAGAGGAUGAAGAAAGCCUUUGAUAAGAAGGUCAAGCCUCGUGUGUUCCGAGAAGGUGACCUCGUGCUCAAGAAAGUCUUGUCUUUCACGCCCGAUUCCAAGGGCAAGUGGACUCCAAACUAUGAAGGUCCAUAUGUUGUUAAGAAAGCCUUUUCAGGCGGUGCUUUGUUGCUUACAACUAUGGAUGGGGAGGAUUUCACUCGUUCUGUGAAUUCAGAUGCUGUCAAGAAAUACUUCGCCUAAAAUAAAAACAGAAUAGCUCGCUAAGUUGAAAACUCGAAAGGGCGGCUUAGGCAAAAAUGAGCGUCUCGGUGGAUGGAAAACCUGAAAGGGAGGACCAGGCAAAAGUUAGAGACAUGAAAAAGAAUAAUGAAUAUAUAUCCCGCUAGAUUGAGUACCUCACCCUGGGGCAAUCUAGGCAAAAAUUAGGGAUUUGGCAAGUAACUGCAUCCUGACAAGACUUUGUUCUACAACUAUCGUCUAUCAAAGAUUCUCGCUCAGUCAUUUAUCAACUGAAGCUUCGAAUACAGUGGAUUCAGAGUUGGUGGAGAAACGAUCAUUAUGUUCAAUGUAGUCCUUUUUCCAUGUAUAUCACCAAUUUCAAAUUUGUAAAGGUCCAUGGAGUCUCGCCAUUUGUGGACUACCAUUCUAUUAAAUAAAUUUGGGCCUUUAUCCAAUUCCUUGCACUCUUACUUGUUUAUGUCUAACAAAUGUUUGCAUGUUUUAGUUGAUGAAUAUCAUUGUUUUAAACAAAUAAAGUUUUUAUAAACUGUUUUAAACAAAAUGAACAUUCACAAUGACUGAAAAGAUAAAUAGAAUGUCCUCAGUACUUUCCCAAAGAUAGUAUGAUCACCAAAGGGUAAGACAUUUGUUCAUAUUCUGGCAUGUUUAUAUCCUCUUCAUCAACUUUCAGUUGUCUCCCUGUCGAGCUCUGAAAAAGUCACCAGCUUCCCAGAGACUCUGGUAUGAGAAGUCUUCUCUGAUGGCAGCAAAUUUGUUCUAUCUUUUUGGAUUGCUUUCUCCUAGCAGAAUCUGUGGAUCUUCAUUUGACAGUUCCCAGAUAGUUUGUUUAUGCACAUGCUUGUUUCCCCUGCGGAGUCUUAGCAAUCCAUGGUUGGUUGAUCUGUGGAUGAUCCCUUUUGUACCAGUUUUUGCCUUGAUCUUUUAGAGACGUGUAUCCCUCUAUAUCAGGCACUAGCAUUUGUGUUUUUAUCAAUUAUAUGGUUGUCACCCCUUGUGGGGGGCUGACUUAAAAUCCCUUAUAGAUUGAUAAAAGUUGAUAUGUUAUUCUACUCACGAAGACUUGGUAUUUCCCCAGCAUGAAUAGAAGCUCUCAGCGGAGUAGGUAUGUGUUCCCUGCAGAGCUAUCUUCCAGACAGUUGUCUCCUCAGUGGGAAGUUGCCUAAGAGCAAUCGAUGACGGGUUUGUUUCCCUUUUCGUCCCUAGCCUGUCACGUGUUGACGAAGGACCCGUUUCCGAUUCCCUCAGCCAAGACAGUUCCUUUGAGAAUACUUGUAGUUUAUCCCCAGUAGGGUUGCCUGAUCCGAGUUUGAUGAUUUGUAUCCCCUCUGAGUCUGAAGAUUUCUUCUAGUAUUGAGAGAUGAUGUGGAAGAUGUGUUGUUUCCUUCCCUAGUGGAGCAAUUUAUUCUUUCUCCCCUUAGCAGAGUUUUCUCUCCAGCAGAUAGAAGGGAAUGUUUUGAUUGAUGUGUAUCUGGUUGGUGUCUGUUCCCCACGGAAUUUCACAUCAUCCCUUGGUAUGUUCCCCAGUAGAGUUUCUUCUACGGCGGAUCUUAACAAUAUUCAGCAGCUUGUCCCCGAGAGACUUGAUGGAAGGCCUCCGGCGGUUGGAAGCUAUUGACUUUGCCUAUCCCCAAGCGAAGCUCUCUAGUAGGUUUUGCCCCUUCUUGUUGAGAUGUUAUGCCGGGUGUCCGUUCACGAAUUCUUGGACCUGUUUAUGUUAGAUAUGUCUGUCUGUUAGCAUUUAUCAUAUACAGAUCAUGCAUACACACGCAUAAUCAUAUCAUUCAGAUAUUCAUGUUGCAUUCUUUGUCAUAUAUCUUUGUGUGUUAUCUCCUGCUGUCGGUGAAAUGCUCUUCCCCAAGCAGAUGUUUGUGUCUAAUCUCUCCAUUUAGAGUCAGCCUCAUAGGCAGAAAGUGUCUACCUUUCCUUCUUUAUUCCCCACUGAGUUAUGUCCUUGUGGAUGAUUAUUGUUUCAACUUCCUUUCCGGUUAUGUACCGGGAUGGAAUUACUCCCCUGAGAUAUAUCCUCAUUGGGUUGAGUCUUGUUUGAUUGUGUCUUUCUAGUUUGUUCCUAGAUUGACUCCCCUUUCUUAUUAUCCCCUACAGUUCCCCGUGGUUUAGUCGUUCAAUUGCUCAGUAACCAGUAAUUGUUCAUUCUUUCCCCAGCGGAUCUUGUGUCCUUCUACCUAGUAGCCGGUAGUUGUAAGUCCUACUUCUGUGGUUUUCUACCCAGUGAUCGGUAGAUGUAAUCCCCUCUUUGAUGGUUAUCUUUACCUAAUAACCAAUAUUGAUAUUCCUUCGUCUUUGAGUAUACCACCCAGUAACCGGUGAUAUAUCUCUUGGAUAAUUGUUUUUGUCAGGCAAUUUAUCCCUUGCGAGUCAUCUUUCGUUUACCCGUAUUUGGUAAUGUUUGUUUCUCCUUCUGAUUGGUCAUCAUUUUAUACUCAGUAGCCCGUACCCCGAUGUCCUUUCUUUUCGGUUGAUUUAUCCUUCAUUAACUCAGUAACCGGUUGUGGAUAAUUUUCCAUGCGAGUAUGUUAUCUAUAUUAUGACGGUAAUAGAUAAUAUAUCUCAUGCGCUCUUCAGUCGAAGUCUUUGUUCUUCCCCAGUCGAGUAAGGUUCGUAUUUCCUAGUGAAAUCGAAUGUCCAUCCUGUAAGUCGAGUUUGCUUUUUCAGCCCCCCUUUCGGAUGAUGAGUGUCUUGGAUAUGUUCCCAAUUCACGUCUGGUUGGUCACCUAUUAUACGCCCAGUAACCGGUAUCCCUGGUGUUCCUUCCUUCUACUCCCUAUUAUGACUUUUUGUCCCUUGUGGAGUCAGAUUUUUCUUGAGUUGAGAUGUGCCUUUUGGGUCCUCCUCAGAUGUUUCUAAUGAUUGAUAUCUCUCACCCUUAUAUCAGUCUUAGAUAUUCUUUCUCCUUGAGCGUGUUGUUCUCUCACCCAGUAACCGGUGUUUUGAUAACAUGUCUCAUUUUGAGUUUAUUACCCAGUAACGGGUAAUAUCCCAUUUUUUCUUCCUCAACUGAGUCCUUUGUGGAUUUCUCCGUCUGAGUCCGGAUUUUUAUCCGAUGUAUCCUUUGUGGAUAGUUUUGUUGUAUUGGCAUAUUCCCCAAUACAUGCAUCUUUGCGUCGGCUCGAGUCUUUCCAUCAAUUUAUUUUCGUGGAAUCCCUUCGCGUCUCCCAACAAGUUUUCAAGUCGUGGCCUGCUCACACAUUUUUACCUUUAUUUCCCCAGAAUCUCUAUCUCUCUAGUGAGUGUGUUACUCCUAUGGAUCUUCAAUUUCUCCUGAUUUCUUUUCCUUCAUGGCAAUUGUUCACCAUGAAGAUUUAUUUUUGCAUACAUACAUUUGCAUCAUGAGGUCUCUUAGGGACCAAAAUUCGUCUCUUUGUUAUUAUUUAAGCCCAUUCUACCUCGUUGAGACGAAGAUUUUAACCUUCAUAUCUCCAGCUAGAAUGACCUUAAAUAGGGGCAUCUGUAAGACCCUAAUUUUGACCAUAAGAUCCCUCAUGGCAUCAUAUCAUUGCUCAGUGCAUUGCCUCAAGGAUCAUAGCAUGUUUGGCUCCUUAACCCUAGGGUUGAGACUUGUGUGAGUGGUUUGAGACUACCAAGCAUGCUUGUAUUAUAUAUUAUUUCUUUUCUUAUUUUGAUUACUAACCAAAAGCACAAAAAUAUGUCACUAACUCUUUUUCAAAACUUCGAGUUCACUAGUACACGAGGGUACGAGGAUCCUGGCUCCUAAGCUCAAUGAUAUGGCUAGAUGAAGAUGAGAAAAAGCAUGACAAUGGUCCACAAAGUUCCUAAUCAUCAUAUAUGUCUCCCAAGUAUCUCAAUUUGCCAAUUUGAUCAAGAUAAACCAAAGGGCUUGAUGAUUGUUUCCCAAGGAAACCCUAAUUUCAAUUGUGCUUUGAUUGUGCCUUGUCCAUGAAGCAACCUCAGCCUAUGAUCAAAUUUAAUCAAGGGAAGUUCUUUCAUUCAUUAUUUUAUGCAUAUGUGAGCCUAUUUGAGGAUUCUCAAUCAUUCAUUCAUCAAGAUUGGAAGUUUGGCCUUGGAAAGUUGACCAGUCAAGUCAUCUGACUAAACUGAGGUCCACUAAGAUAUAACUUUUGAUAUGUUUGUGAAAUGAAGAUGACCCUAAGAUAAACAAUGUUAUUAACAACCAUAUUAACAACUUUCAUGUUCAUCAAAAAUCCAUUUGAAGCUUGUAAAGUCAUCAAUCAUUUCAAAACAUUAUAGGUCAUUUUGACUAAAACCCUAAUUUUGGGUCAACUUCCCAAGGACCUAACUUCCUUAAUUUUUAUGAUUUUGAGGUAAGACAAAAUUAAUUGGAAAUAUUAAGAUGUCUACUUAAAAUGUUAUGUUGGAAAAAAUUUCAUAAUCUUAAAAGAAAUACAUGUGAUAUACAAAAUAUUAUAGGUCACCUUGGACCCAAGUCAUUGAAUUUGAAAAAGUACCUAACUUCAAGUGCCCAUAACGUUUUUAUGGAAAAUCCAAAUGAUGCAAAAUUUGAGUCUAAAUUAAUAAUCUUGAAAAUAUAUACAAGUUUUAAGUUUAAGGUUUUUCCAUUUGAGGCUUGCAUCAUGCAAAAAGAGGGGCUUGAAGAGGCUUGCUUUUGGUGAAAAUUUUCAAAGGAUGACCUAGACAUGUUUUGUGCGCAAACGUUCACAGCCAUUUUUCACUAAUUUCAAAAUGCCAAAUAAAUUUUUGCCCAACAUGACUUUUGUUCCUUAUUUCAAGAGAUUUCCAACCAUUACUCGCAUUACUUUUUUGGACUUUCCAUUGGUGAGUUUCGAAUAGUUCUCUCUCUAUGUUCAUUUUUGCAUUUCAUGUUGAAACUUAAUGUGCAAGCUGAUUACAUCACAAUUGCACGUCCAAUUCCAUUUCAGUUAAUCUCAGCAUGGUUUAGCACCCAUCAUUGGGCCUCACAUGCGCCUGUACAGGCCCAUGCACCAAAGUUCAAAUUUUCCAUGCACACGAGGGAAUCAUGAACUCAACCCUCUUCAGCUAUAAAUAAGCACUCAAUCUCAUUCAUUUGGCAACCUUGUGGAGACCUGAAAUACUGCAGCACUGAAAUCCCAACCAAUACCAAAGGAAUUUUCAGAUUUUUCUCUCUUUUUCAAGCUUGAAAUUCAACAUCAUUAAUUGAUUUUCAAAGCUCAAUUCCUUAGCCUAUCAUCUCCAUUACAUCUCCAGAGUAGCAAGGGAUCAAGAUCUUGAAGAAUUCGUGGCCUUAAGAGCUCCAUUUCAUAGGUAGAACUUCAAACGUUUUGGAUCUAGAUCUUGCAAUUCAAUGUAGUUUUCUUUGGUUUGUGUGGUUUUCUGAAGUCCUCACACUUGAGGCAGGCCAGUGGUGGUCUCAAUUCUUCAUUUCGUGCAUUUGCAGUUGACAUACCAUGAUCUUCAAUCUCACAUUUCUCUCAAAAUAGGAAGAGUGAGAAAGAUCCAUGGAUACAGUGGUGAUGUACAUCACUUGAGCUUCAUUUUGAUGUCCUUGUUUUUCAUUUUCGUUACAAAAUUUUUCUCUGCAAGUGGUGGCCGGAAUCAGGUAUCUCACCGGAGAAGAUGGUGGUUUCCACCACCAUCACCAUGUGGUUGCCUUCCCAGCCCUUGGAUUGCCAUGCCACGUUAUAAUCUUGACCACUCCUUAUGUUUACUUAUUUUAAUUCAACAUGCCGCGCGCUUGACUUAUGUCUACCAUGCGUCCUCACCUCUGAGCCCUUGAUCUGUGCCACGUCAAUUAAUGAGGUUGAUCCUGUGGCGUUGGAUUUUUCAUCUUUUCUAUUUUCAUUUUAAUUUCAGUUAAUUCCUUUUAUUUUUAAAAAUUCAUAAAAAAUUUAUUUGAAGUCACAAAAAUAUGAGACCAACUCCAAAAAUUUUCUUGAAAAAUCUAGUUUCAUAUUUUGAUUUUUUAAAUAUUUUUGUGAUUUCAUUUAAUAUUUUUUGUGAAUUAUUUGGUUUUUAAUAGUUUUAAUUCAUUUUAAAAUACUUUAUGAUAUUUGAAAAAUCCAAAAAUAUUUUCCUAACACCUAUGGAUCAUGAUAAGUCAAUGAAAAAUAGUCUCAUCAAUUUCUUAUUUGAUUUGAGAUUUAUUUGAGAUUUUAAUUCAUUGAAAAAUCCAAAAAUAUUUUCCUAACACCUAUGGAUCAUGAUAAGUCAAUGAAAAAUAGUCUCAUCAAUUUCUUAUUUGAUUUGAGAUUUAUUUGAGAUUUUAAUUCAUAUUGUGUUAUUUUUUAAUUGUUUUAAAAUAAUUUAUGAUUUCCAAAAUUGUUGAGAAAAUUUGUCAAAGUUUAUUUGACCAUGUUAGACCUAUGAGAAUUUAAUUGGACUUGUUGAAGUUGAUUUGAAUUAAAUUUGAGGUUUGACCUUAUUUUGAUUAUUUUUAUUUUGCAUUUUAUUUUAAUUCAAAAAUACCAAAAAAUUAUGGUUGACUUGCUGACUUGUAAUCUUCAUUCCUUUUCUGUUUGCCAUUGAUUGAUGAUGACUUGGUUCACAUUUGAUCAAUUGAAUUUGAUACUUGUCUUCCUUUUCCCUCCCUUUCAUCUUCAUCCCAUUAUUUCAUUAAUGGCCAAUGAGUUAAUGUCUUAUGGUUGGUCUUGACAAAUGAGAGGUUUAACCUUCUUUGAUCCAAACCAAACUCAACUUGAUCCAUGAUCAAGUGAGUUGUUUUGUGUCUAAGAUAGGUUGCUUCUUGAUCAAGCAAAUAACCUAAAGUCCAUACAAGGUCAUUCCCCUCUUGUUUUGGCAUAGCAAGUUUGUGGAGCUUGGCUUACUAGUCAUGAUCUCUAACUUGUGUUUAUUGGCCUAUAGUUUUAUUGACCGGCCUCAGAUAGGUGUGACUACUACAUUAGUUCACUUACGAUUGAUUAACAUAGCGCUACAUUGUCUUAUGACAAACUAACAUAACUUCACUAAUUACUAACUUUAAUUUGAACAUUUAAUUUCUUGCCCUUUACUUUUAAUGCCAUUUAUUUCUUGCUCAUCUAUUCAUAUUGUUUUUCAUUUUGCUCAUUUGAGCACAUAUUUUAUGUUUAUGUCAUUUUUCUUUUGCUCAUUUGAGUUCACUAUUGUAUAUAAAUAUAUUGUUGUCUUGUGAUUGCUUUGUCUUUAUUUUGUGUGAACCUAAUACAAAAAGGAGAAAGGACUUAGAAUUAGGACAUACCUAUGCUUAAAGGAGUUCAAGAGCAACUAGGCCUCAUGUCCUUUAGAAUGCUACAAAUUUGGUUGAGAGUAACAUCGGGCUCUCAUGUCUUUAGAAUGCUAAUUUCAAAGAUUGAUCUUAAAGUACUUCUCAUCCAAGCCUAUUCUUUGUCCAUUCCUCUUAUUGUGUGGUGAACUUUUUGAUCUUUGUUCUUGCGUGAUAGGGAUUCCAUCUCGAGAUAGUGAAAAGAGGACCAUUGUCAUGAGUAGCCAAGUUAAGAGAGAUAAGCCAAAUGGAGAUCCUAGGAGCUUGAAUCCAAAUUGUUUGAUUGCUUGAUUGUGUACUAAGUCCAAAGGAAAUGAGCAUCUUGAAUCAUCUCUAUGAUUUCAAGAAAAGGAACUCCAAGGGUUUAUCUUUUCUUUCUUAUCUUUGUAUGCUUUAGGACUAGCCCUUCUAUUCUUCUCCCCACUCUAACCCAAGCCAAAAAUCUUUUCUUCAAAACUUUGACUUUGUUUUAAAUUAGAAACCUAGGCCUUAUGCCUUUGACUUUUCAAACUCUUUUCAUAAAUACUCAUUGUGAAUAAACAUUAGUCCAACUUUGACCUCAUUUUAUAAAUAAAUCUAACUUGUAAAUCACUUUAAGUUGAUUUUGUGGUUCCAAUGGCCACCUUUGUUAAAACCUUUUCAUAAACAUUAGUCAUAGGUUUAAGUUAUCAUAGUGGUUGAUAUAAAUCUCACCUUAUCCUUAGUGAUUGGAUUAUAAGUCUUCCAUACUUAUUAUAUGGUUAACCCCUCACUAGUAUGUUGAAGCUUUCCUCACAUGGUGGAUUGUUGGUUUAGGUUGAGUUUUCUCCCUUAGAUAACAAAAGACCUUAAGGCUUUUGAUCAAAUCAAUUCACCAAUCUUUGUGAUUUUUACCCCGAACUACGAGGUUUUGAUCCUACCUUUGUGAUGGUACGUAGGCAAUGAGUUCAUCCAUCAAACAACAAAAUUUUUAAAUAUAAUCUAUUCUCUUCUCAUCCUCCAAUCUUUUGCCUCCAAAUCUUUUCACAAAUACAACCAUCAACACAUAAUUUGCAAAAAGGGUUCCCUAGAGUACUAAGGAUUUCUGGGUGCGUUUAAACCUCCCCAUUUCAUAACCCCUUACCUAGAUCUCUGACAUUUUUAUUAGUUUUUGAUUUGAAAAACUUCUUACCUUGGCUUUUGUUCGCUUUUUAGCCUUUCCUUUGGACAAAUAAAAGUGCGGUGGCGACUCAAAUUGUAUGUUUACUUUUGGUUUAGUUAAUAAACCUAAAGGUAACGAAAACCCCGCUAUAGGUAUCCACGAACAUGUUUAUCAACUCUCUUUCAAGAAGAGGGGGUUGAACCCUGGCAGCCAGGUCUCUCCAUCGUUGAGCGUACUCUUUGAACGAUUCAUCCGGCUUCUGAGAAAGGCUUUGGAGCUGAGUUCGAUUGGGGGCCAUGUCUGAGUUAUACUGAUAAUGCUUCAAAAAGGCUUCAACAAGUUCCCUCCAGGUUCGUAUAUGCGUGCGCUCGAGCUGUAUAUACCAUUCCAGAGAAGCUCCACUAAGACUGUCCUGGAAAAAGUGCAUUAAGAGUUUCUCGUCAUUAGAAUGAGCGGCCAUCUUUCUGCAGAAAGCUCGGAUGUGGGUCUUUGGACAAGUGACCCUAUUAAGAGUUUCUCGUCAUUAGAAUGAGCGGCCAUCUUUCUGCAGAAAGCUCGGAUGUGGGUCUUUGGACAAGUGACCCCUUGAUACUUUUCAAAGCUCGGGACUUUGAACUUGGGAGGAAUUUUCACGUCUGGCACUAAGCACAUGUCGGCCGGAUCCAACCCAAAGGUAUCAGAACCUUGCAUCACCUUGAAUCUCUCCUCCAUCAUUUGAAAUCUCCUUUCGAUGUCAGCAGGAGAAGGACUAAAAGCUUCAUAAACUGAGUCAGCCUUUGUAGUGAAGAAAACGUCCUACUGAUCGUCAAUCUCAGGUUGGAAUCUCCCAUUGGCGGGGAUAUUGAACGUAUGAGCAGCAUUUUGAUACACCGGACCUCUUUCGGGAGGUGGUUGAGCUACAACGGGCGUACCAGCUCCUCCUAGUGGAUUCACUGGUAUAGUCACAACAGCAGGGUUGGUAGUAGAGGCUCUCAAAUUAGCCUGGCGCAUUUCCUCUUGUCCCCUAGCCAGAGCUUGUAGGGCUUCAACGAGCUGACCCAUCUGAGCCUUCAUAGUGGUCAUAUCCUCCCUCAUAGCAACUUGAUUCUGCUCCAACUGAUCCAUGAGCAAUUUCUGAUUACUGUGCGUGUAGUAUGAAUAUCGGGAAGUCAACUUGACUGUGGAUGAUUCUGGAUAGAAGGGCCAAAUGGUAAGUUUUCUGGCUUUUGUAUGAUGAUAUGCAGAAUGAUGCAUGAAUAUUGUAUUUGAAUAUUCUUUUAUGAUGCAUGAAUGCAUGAGUGAGUGAAUGAAUGAUACACAAGCAUGGUUCCCAUGAGUCGAACACACAAGUUGACAUGGUAUCACAAGUUCGAGAUACGGAUGGAGGAUAGCUCUGAUUGCUUACUCACAAUGGGGGAUCUCACCGGUCGAAGUCUAGGGUUAGAUAGGGACCCCAGAGUCAUCGAUUCAUUUGGCUGUUUGCCGCUUACGGCAAAAGCUUGCAGAUCGUCAACUCCCUCAAAUGAGCCUCUUCUGGGUGAGAUCUUUGUAUCGACCCACACGAGAAAAGCUUCUCGGGGGCCCGCACUACGCGACCAUUGACAACGGGUUUUAGACAAGGGUCUCAAAGUCACGAACCUCUUUGACUGUUUGCCGCUUACGGCAAAAGCUUGCCGGUCGCCAACUCCAUCAAGAAGAUCUACUUUGAGUGAGAUCUUCGUACCGACCCACACGAGAAAAGCUUCUCGGGGACCCGUACUACGCGACCAUCAACCUUAAUGGGCCAUAGGUUUAAUGUUCUACAAAGGUCCUUAGAGUCAUGGAUCCUAAUGAAGACAUUGAUCGCUUACGCCAAAAGCAACUGCCAGCAGUUGCAGAGGUUUUCUUAGAUGAGAUUCGCUGGUUCUCGUAUCGACCCUUACGAGAAAAGCUUCUCGGUGGCCCAUACUACUCAACCUCUCCUAUCUCAAGUUUACACUCUAGACUUGGGUAGAGAAUCUUUUCCACAAGGUUACUUGCAAUCAAAGCAGUACCCAUCACUACCAUUGAAUCGUGGAACCGCAUAAUAAAUUACAAAAUUUAAAGCAAAAGGCAAUAAAUAAGGUAAGCCAAUCAAAAGGAUAAGCACACACACGCGAGGAAGUAACCUAGAUUAGGCUUGACUUGCUUAGGGAGGUGUCCCCAGCAGAGUCGCCAACUGUCGCUACGCGAAAAUCAUAGAGUCGCCAUCGGUUUUUAUUUAUUCCAAAGGAAAGGGAAAAUAUCGAGAAAACCCCAAAGUGUGGUCGUCGCAACCACGAACAGGUUCGGAAGUCGGUUAUGCAAAGGGAAGGUAUUAGCACCCCUCACAUCCAUGGUACUCCAUGGGAACCAUCUAGGAUGUUUACGCUUACGUGUGUAUUGUUUAUCGAAUGUUUGAUUGCCAAAGGUUUGCGGAGUGGAGGUAGAUUUUAAAUUAGUGUGCUCGCCAAGGAAUGAAUCCUCGUGCCUACGUAUGCCCACUUGUUAAAGUGAGAAAUCAGAGCCUUCUUAGUUCGUGGUUUUGAAAUUGUUUGUGUUUGUUUUGUUGAUUUUAUUACCUUGAAGAAGGGUUUGCGAUCAUGUUGCCCUAAGGCUCAAACAAAAGGUUUGAAUGAGUUGGAUUGUUUUUAGGUUUUGAGAAAGUGUUAUUGAUUUCGGAUUGCACUAAAGACUAUGGAUAAAGGUGAAUACCUCAAACGGUCAAGCCAAACGUCUUUUUUAGGUUUUGAGAAAGUGUUAUUGAUUUCGGAUUGCACUAAAGACUAUGGAUAAAGGUGAAUACCUCAAACGGUCAAGCCAAACGUCUUGUGUUCGAAGCAUUCAGAAUGAGUGUAGGAAAGCUCUAGUCUCAUCCCUUCUUUAUCGCUUAAGGCUCGUGACGUACAAUCCUAAUCGCCAUUUAUUGUGUUUUUGAGUUUGAUUUGAGAAAGAGACCGCUUGACGUUGGAUCAAGGGUUUGUUUAUUGGUUUGAUUUGAAAAGAGACCGCUUGACGUUGGAUCAAGGGUUUGAUUCUUGAUUUCGAAAAGGUGAACGUUCCUAAUGCCUAAGGAGUGUCUAAUCAAGCAAUAAAAGAAAGCGAGUAAAUGCGUACACGAUAAAGGGGAGGGGGUACAUGUAAAGUACAAGGGAGUGCAGGAAAUAAAAGAUCUCAUUGUCAGGUAGCCCAAGAGAAAGCCUUGUGUGUGAAAUUGUGUCCUAAACUAGAAAGCAAGUAAAAGAUUACAAUUUGUCUUGAAUCUUGAAUGCUCCUUUCCAUGUUUGGGUUGAAUGAUUGUCCAAGGAUUUUUGAAAAGGAUCCUAAUGAGUCUCUAAGUCCAUUAUCCAAAGUCCAUUACAUGCUAAGGGAGUUAUCUUGUUUUUUUUUGUAUUUUUCAAGUCUUAUCCCUUUUUUAGUCAUUUUUAGAAUGAGAUGAAUGAAGAAUGUACAAUGAUGUAGCAAAAAUAAAAUUGCAUAAGGUAAAUGGCAAAAAUUAAAUGUUAGUAGCGGAAAUUAAAGGUUAGAUGUUAAUGUUAGAUGUUAGAAGUUAAUUGUUAGAAUUUAGAUCAAAGUAGAAAAUAUUCAAGAAAACACAACUAUCAAAUAAAAUUCUAAAAUCAAAACAAUUAUCAAAUGAAAUUCUAAAAUUCAAACACUUAUCACCAAUUAUCAAGAAUUUAAUUCUAAACAAAAUUAUCCUAAUUAAAUUCUAAACAGUCAACACAAUUAAUCCUCUUAAACUUCUAAUCAAAAUCAAUUCUAAUUAAAUUCUAAACAAAAUCCAUUCUACACAGUUAACACAAUUAAUCCUAAACAAUUGUCCUAAUUGUUAUUAAUCUAAUAAUUAACCACCAAAACCAAAGAAAUAGGCUAAUAAACAACACAACAGAAUGGGCCUUAGGAGAUAGGCCCAAACGCGUGGGGUGUUCAAUGGGAUAAGGGAGUUCCAUAAUGAAUUUGCUUGGGUGGUGCCAAGAGAAAAGUGAGUGGGCCUAGGAGCCCAAGGUAAUGAGAAAACAACAUGAAGGGAUUAACCUCAGCAUACAUCUCAAGCUCUCACGCAUGCUUCCCUGCUCAAAAUUCACAUCGCCGGAGCCGUAACAGCUCCGCCGCGCCGGUGCUCCCUUCCGGCGGCGAGCGAACCACCACAAUCUCCCUACCAAACUACCCGCUCUGACCACUUCCACCUGAAUCCUCCACUAACCUCCUCAAGUCCUCACCACACGUCGCGUUCAGCGACAAAGCUUCAAUGAAUUCACGGCGAACUGAAGAAAGACGACGGUGGUGAACUCAAGAUCUACUCGAGUUCCUCUCUCCGUGAAUCGUGACAAGGCACUACUUGCCUUCACCUCGAGCCAUUCUUCUUCUACUUCUCCUACCUAAAGCUAAAUGCAAGCUCUUCCUAAAUCUAAUGCGACUCGGCUUUUUGAUAGAGCGAAACAAACUUCGAUUCAAAGAGAGGAACGCCUCAACCGCGAUCCACACCACAACUCUCAAGUCUCACCAUAGUGCAAGAAACAGUCAAUACUCAGGGAAGAAAAUAGCUUACCUGCGAUGAAGGCAGCGAGGGAAUCGUCGACGACGUUGAACUCCACUUAGGUACCUUGAUAUCUCGCCUAUUUGACCUUCUUCUUGCUGUUAUUAUGAUCCGUGAUCGUUCGGUGGAAUUCACGUUGGCGGUUUCCGAUUUUGCGGUUCCUUCCUCCGGUUGAGCAAAAGUGUACACCGAAAGCCUCUCUGCUGACCAAGGUGUGUAAAAACUGGAGGGAGUUUUUCUGGUUUUCUAAAUGAGAAGUGGAGAAGUGCAUUGGUGCGUGAGGGGUAGAGAAUGGUGGAGGAUUCAGUUAGAGGUUGUUGAUGAUUGUAGAAGAAUAUCCAAGAUUCAUUGUGUAUGAGAAUUUGUUAUAUGCUGCAGAAUUGAGAGCGACGACCCCCGCUUCAAGGCCAAUCCAAUGGACUUUAUAGAGUUAUGUUGCAAUGGAUUUGGAUGAGUUUUUGCAUUUUUGCUUUUCAGUUGCCGUUUUGUUGUUGUUGCCUUUGUACGUGCAUCUUGUUACGCGUUUUAUACAGGCUCACAUUUGCCCGACGUUCACGUGUGGCUCGGCUUAAUGUCGGUGGCUCUUUGUAGUUGUGCACGGAUUGUUCUCAUGAUGUCGUUUUCAGUUUAUGCAGGUAUUUUAGCAGUUGGUGGCUCGUUGCCGUUUCGGCGCUUGGACGUUGGCUUUUGACGUGUGGACUUUUCAAUCUUUCCGCUUGUGGAUAGCAGCUUGGUGGCUUGUUGUGCUGCAUUGCAGUUGGUUUUGGAUUUAGCUUGCGGCUUAGCUCUGAGCUGUGUUUGGCGUUUCAAUUGCUUACACUAUGUUGGCUUAAGUUUUGGCGUGUUUCCUUUUCUUACAUUGUGUUGGCUUUCGUUGCCGUAUUGGCUUGUUGGUAGUUGCUUGCGCAGCUUUGUACUUUGCGUUUUGCAGCUUUUUAGCUGCAUUUGGAAUGUAGCUUUUGGCCUCCUGGAUCAUGUUUGCUGCAGGAUACCAGUUAGAAGUGGAAACAUGACAAAACUAGAUUAGUAAAUUAAUUAUGGAUACAUGGAUAUUGGCUUUUAAAACGGUUUAAUGGAUUAAAGGAAAGAAGGAUUAUGUAUUAACAUUGGAUUUUUGAUUUAGAAAUUGUAAAAAUGAUUUUUUUGCUUAUUGAAUGGAUAAUGCUUAGAGUGAUAUGGA
RNAcentral lists this long non-coding RNA (45156 nucleotides) under Lathyrus oleraceus (garden pea). RNAcentral's name for it is "Pisum sativum (pea) long non-coding RNA (PSAT_LNC031225)". Lineage: Eukaryota; Viridiplantae; Streptophyta; Magnoliopsida; Fabales; Fabaceae. The record is from RNAcentral.